This 64231-nucleotide long non-coding RNA is filed under the name Selaginella moellendorffii. RNAcentral describes it as "long non-coding RNA (SMOE_LNC001107)". The record is from RNAcentral. Lineage: Eukaryota; Viridiplantae; Streptophyta; Lycopodiopsida; Selaginellales; Selaginellaceae.
UAACACAAUGGCUUCCUGUCUCUCUUUCUACUUUGCUCUUACUGUUCUUCUGGCCACUGUGGUGGAUGCUUCGAAUUCCAUUUCUUCGACAUCAGAUGAGAAUGCGGACAUCUCUAAGUCACUGGUUGCAUGGUGGAAGCUGGAUGAGAAGAUAGGCCAUCUGGUCGCAGACUCGUCUGGGAACAAGGCAACUGGGCUUGUGGAGCAGGCCGGGUCCCAACUUGCUCACACAACUGAUGGUAUUGUGUUUGAUGGUGCAACAUACAUUUCCAUGGGCACCACGCCCUCUCUCUCUGGGCAGACUGAUUUUGCUGUUCAUGCUUGGGUGAAGGUCCCACCCCGCAUCAAGCAGGAACUGUGCAUCAUCCAGCAACGCUCUGAUCAUAUCUAUGGUGAGUGGUGGCUAUGGAUCCGCAAUGGCAGUCUAUGGUUUACGGUGUACAAUGAUGAGUUCCAGUUCAGAAUUGAGGGAACAGUGCCAGUCACUGAUGGAACUUGGCACCAUGUUGCUGGAGUCCGAAAUGGCACUGUUGGGUCUAUCUACGUUGAUUCUAAACUUGAUAAGUCACAGAACGGCUCCAAGAUAGUCAAGCUCAAUUCCAGCCUACCUGUCUUCAUUGGUUAUGACCCCCGUGACAACAAACGCUACUUUCAUGGUGAACUCAAGGAGGUUCAGAUCUUCAGUGCUGCUGUUGUGCCUGUGGGCUUCAACCCAAUCUCUAGCUAUGGAAUCAUGUAAGCUUAUGCUCCUCUGACAUGGAUUCAUAUACGUAAAUAAAGAGGAGCUGGUUUGUUAUAUUCUAUGAAGUAUGGCGUGUUUCUUAUGAAUUGAAUGUAGAAUAUACAUUUCUCUAGUGUCCAUAGUUCCACAAUCCAACAAAGAUGGAUGGACAGAAUGGCAGCAUUCAACAUGCGUGGCAGUGCUUCGCCAGAAUUCAGCAGCUGACUGUUGUUUCAGGGAAUGGCAUGCUCGUAGCGCUUGCCUGGAAUGGGCACUUGCAGCAGGCAAUGAUGCAACUGCAAUGCCUGGACAACAGUAUUAUCGAUCUAAUCGCUGUAUAGGUACUUUGAGGGGCGUUUUAGACUCCAUAUAGAACAGUUUCAGAAGAUGCAUGUGAGAAAUGUGUAUCUUGGAAUGCCAUCAUCUGACAGAGCGGCAUUUUCAUGGCUAAGGUGGUCUUAAAUUUUAAUUCUUGCAUUUGUUGUUUUAAAACAAAUUUGUGUUAUAUCAUGUCAAUACUGAAUUUAAACCUCUGGUCACUCUUGGGCCUUAUUACCCUUGGAGGGCCUCCGUGCUAACAUUGUAUCGAUAUAAUUUUUCAAGUUUUAUGUACUAAGCAGCUUUAUUUUAUUCUAAAAAUGAAAAAUAAAAUAAAAAACAGAGAAAAAAAACUUUAUCAUCUCUUGCUGGGUUGCUUGUUGUCGUUGUUGAUCUGGAGGAGGUUCUUAUUUUAUAUAGUAGAAUUGAUGUUUUUUUUUUACAAUGUUGGCCAUAUUGAACACAACUACUUAACAGUCCUCUAAAUUUUUAUGGCACAUUUAUAAUAAAUAGUAAUAGUUUAAUUUCUUCUAAUAAUAAAUUUCGAGCCAAAUUAGAAAAUUGUAAUUUUGUUAUUGAUGAUAUUGAAACAAUCAAAAGUAUAUGGUCUACAAUAUCAGAAAGAUCAAAUAUAUUUUGUUAUCUUCAUCUUCAACUAGAUGGUCAUUUACUUAUAAUAGAUAAUAACAAUAAUAUUAUAUGGAAAAAUAAUAUAUUUUGCUCAAAAUGCAUAAUAUUUGCAAUUUUAAAAAUAGAAGAUACUGGACAAUUAAUAGUAACAUUUUAUGAUUUUUUUAAAGAAGAUAAUGUGGAGGAAUAAUAAUCUUAAUUAAAAUAAUGUUUUCAUUAAUUUCUAGGUUAAUUCUUAUUUAUAUUGUAUUUUUAUUUAUUUUUAAUGUAUUUUACAUUAUUAAUAACAAGCAUUUUAUUGCUUUAGAGUCAUCGUUGGUCAUCUCCGAAAGAUUCACUCUUCUUCUUGUGGCUCAAUCCUCUAUGUGCCACUGGUUCCAAGCAGCCACUGCACGACGAAGAAGGGGAUCACACGCGCGAUUGCUCCAAGCACUGUCCAAGGUAGGAGACAAUCACAGCCCCUCCACCCUCUGCCUGUUGAGGCUAAGAGAACAAUCAAGACCGCCAAUCAUAUUGCUAGAUCUACAGCCUUGGAACGAUAUGGUUAUUUAAAAUUCGUAUAAGCUGCUAGAUUAUAUGUACACCUGUGAGAUUAAAAUUUUACGAUGCAAAAGCUUAUUACUUAUCAUUAGCAAGAUCAUCGUCAAGAGCGUCCUGACCGACUUGGACCUCACCACACACCCCGUCUUCUUCCGAAAACGCAUCCAAAUGAACCGUGGCUCCACUCUUUCGCUGCUGGGGCAGGCUCUUGUAGUUGAAGACUUUCUCUAGAACGUCCUUGAGGGUCGAGCAAAGAAUAAGCUCCAUUCCGUCCACCUUGACUCCUUUAGCACCCUGUGGGACGAUGCAUUUCUUGAAACCCAGCUUGGAUGCCUCAAACAGUCGCCUUUCGAGUUGAGCUACCUGCAUGGACGGAACUUCCAGCAUUGAAAAGUGAGAAACCACGUAAGAACUUACAAAGCGCAGCUCUCCCCCGAGUCCUAGCUCACCAACGAAGACUGUGUCCCGAGGAACCGCAAGCAAGACGAAGCUCGUGAGUUGGUAUGCCCAGCUAGUCGAGAGAAAGUACCUGCUGGCAAUAGCGACGGCAACAGCAAUAUCUGUGGCGGGCUCUUCCAAACGAAAGCCUCCAACGACAUUAACAAAAAUAUCCUAGAGCAGUAUUUCAGCAUAAGAACUUUUGCUAUCACAAAGUACAGAACGCACCCGUCUUGCAAGUCUCAAGCGCGCUUGUUUGAGUAAGACCUGGCAUCACAGCGUCAAGCCUCACAAAAGUGGAGAAUAUUUAUGGAGUGACUUACGGCAACAAUCAGAUUGAAUCGAGAUGGAUCCACUCCAGUGAACGUUCUUUUACUUGGCAGUGAAGUGGCAGGAGAGCAUAAGACCUGCAAAACGUGCGUUCAUGCCGGAGAAAACUUUAGCUUUUGAUCGUUGUCAGAUACGCUUCUCGGUUUUAAAGUCAGAUCAUGGCAAGUCAGAGAAACUGUUCUUGGCAGUCCAGCUCACUCGAAACUCGGGAAAUUCCAAAGAAUCUACCACCAGUCUCUCGUUGAACCUGGAAAGCUAGAGCAGCCAGACAACGCUCAGAUUUGGCUAAAAGUAUCAUCAUCCAACGUAAAUCCUAGAAGUCGCUUACCUGGAUUUCAACCAGCAGCGGCCGAGAUCCUUCCAAAGCCACCCCAACGGUGGCUGACGCAUUACUGUCCUCCCCAGUUCUAUCAGAAAGAAACAUCAAACUGGGAUUUCUACCGCUCGUAAACCGCUGUCGACCAUCUCAAACACGCCGACCUGUAAUAAAGAUAAAACAGCCAGAUUCAAUUUAAAAGCAAAUGCUGAAAGACAGUCACCUCUUUCGUAGAAGCGAAGCGAUUUUUUAGCGAUCUUAGAAGCCGUUGAGACAAAAGACGGUCUCCCUAGAGACAAGAAAUAUAUGGCAACCUCAAACGAACAAAGAUAAAAACUCCAAGUGAAGACAAACAUCAACCAUGUGCUCCAAUGUACGUGGCCCCGCUAUUUCUCCAGAUUUCGUUACAUGCCCAAUCUUUAUAUCGCCGAACAUCUAAUGCAAGAAAGAAAGAGAGCUUACCACCAGUGAAGAUAUCGACAACCGUAGAGUAGACGAAUUGAAGUCACAGUUUGCUCCAGGAGUAGGAAAUGUUAUCCCGGAGGGAAGGUUUACAGUCCAAGGAGGAGUUUUCAGGCUCUGAAAGGAAAGAGCUUAGUGAGACCAAAACUUUUACCAUAUGCUUACAUCCAGGUUGAAAACAUGCACAAUGGGAAGACCAUUUUGUCGUCUGUAUAAGAUCAAAUGCUUCGCAAAAAUAUCCAUAUCCUCUAUCCAAUUUUCGCUCUCGACUGGGACAACCUCCUAAAGUGUUUCAUUUUUUGCUGUGAAAAAAACGAGAAUUGACUUACCUCCCACGCCUUCGAGGUCAAGCUAUCUGUCUUGCAGCGGACAAGCCGAUAGUUGUUUCCUAGCGACGCUAGCUUCUUGUCGCCCAAAAAAUUGGUAAGAAUAUACAGGUGCUCUUCAUGGUGUUCCACGAAAUACUGGAUGCCAUCAACUCUAUCUGCAACUUUCCGCAACGUUGUGGCUGAAGUUUUCGGAUCUACCAGAAAAACCAGGCUCGAGCAACACAUUUGUGAAACGCAAUUACCUCAGAGGACGUCUUCGAGUUGACAUUAAUCAAAACGUACUGCCAUUUUUUGGUUCUUGUAACAUCAACAAAGUUCUUUGGAUUGUCGUCGUGAUAAAUUGCAAUGUCAUCAUCUUAGACCGCAAGUUCUGCAACAAAACCCUGUCGAGAUCGAGAAAAAAUGAUUCUAGAAGAAACUUCAAAUAGAAACCUGUGAGGUCGAUGUGCUGCAUCACUACAAGUGUAGUAAAGAUAGUCUCCAGUAUCAGACCACUCCACACUUACUACACCAUCGGUUUUGUGCUCCAGGAGGAGGCUAUCAGUCUCCAAGUCUUUGACAAACAAUGUGAAGAUCUCGUUGCCACCCAAGUCGAUUGUGUACGCUAACAGUUUGUGGUCUCUGGAUAGCUUAAAAACUCCAAGCUGUGCAUGGCCUACACUUGUGUAAUUAGGAAGAAUUCGUGAUCAUCCAUAUACAAGUCUAACUUCGCGCAGUGACUACGUUUGCUUAUUUUGAUUUUCUGUCUCUAGGCAAGCACCUGUUUCUAUAGAAGAUUUAUUUCGCGGUUCGGAUUCCUACAGUGAACAAACAUCAAGUUUUCUCUCCAUGCGUAAUUCUUUUUAUCUUCACUUCAGGACAGCAUCGGAGAAGACAACUUCGCAGUAAAUUUUACGAUCUUCACGUCCAUUUUUCAGCCGCAGACAGCCUGGAGUCCACUUCCUUUACGUAUCUGGCAGUUCUAUAGAGGCGGUUUUUGGAGUCAAUGAGGCCGAGUUAAGGUAAUAAAAGAAAAGAAAAGAAAUUGUUUUCUGAGCAAGGAUGCAUGCCAGCUGGCGAUAUACAUCGAAGAUGAAAGUUUAAUGGAAGCUCUAGUGAACCACGAGGUAAAGCUUCAAUUCUGUUUAAUCAAGACUGGUCGCCAAUUAUGCAGCUGGUUGAGAGGAUGAUCGGAUACUCCCGUUGGAUGUAAGUGCCGCUAUAGAAUGUCAAGCUUUUCUCAAGAAAUACCAGGUGUUUUUUUACAAAGGCACACAUGAGAUAUUUUCUUAAGCGUGUGGUGAUCUUUAUAUUUGGUGAACGACUGCCUACAUGCAUCCGGAAAUGGAUGGACGCUUCUUGUCCGAGUUGAAGCUCUUCCAGUUUGCGCCAGGAUCAUCAGCGAUCCCUUCCAUUGUAUUGAAUUUGACUUAGAAAAGAAACUUCAUAACUUGCAAAGACAGUUCUUGCAUUGCUAUAGAAAAUCUUUCUCGAAAUUGUCUCACAAAAACAAAUUCCACCCGGUGACCAAGCAAGCAAAGUUAGUACCUGUACUCUUCAAUCAAAAACGAUGCUUACCGAACUGGUGCUGGCUUUUGUUCUUAAGCUGCACGAGCUUUUUUCACGAUCAAGUCGCUGCCGCUGGGAAGACUCCUCUUCACUCCACAGCACCUGCUGCGUGUCACCGUCUCGCUCUUGCUACUUCUGCUGCAAUGCUUCAUGAUCCAGGGAUGUGCAAGCACACGGUCCAGCGUUACCCUCUUGCUCAGUUCGACAGCUAACAUCCCCUGGAGGAGAUCCUCCACUUGGUCUGAGCCAAAACCAGUUGGAAAUGCUCCCGCUCUCAAGAAAUCGAUCUCCAUUCUCGACUUGUAACUCCUCAACAGCUCGUAUGCAAUGACUCCCAAACCCCACACAUCAAUGGCUGCCGUGUAGAAGCUCUGUGAUUCUCCCUUGCGACCCUUAGUCGCCAUCACCUCUGGUGCCAUAUACUUCUCUGUGCCACAGUACUUUGACAUCUCCCUGUGCAGGUCUGUGGCUAUCCCGAAGUCUCCAAUCAGAACAUCGUGCACACCAGUGGCAUUGAGCUUGACAAGAAUGUUCUCCGGCUUGAGAUCCCGGUGGAUAAUUCCCCUGGAGUGGAUCUCCUUGAGCGUUUCAGCCAGCUUCUUGAUGGUCUUCAGUGCAUCCUCCUCCCUCAUCGGCCCGCAAUUGAUCAAUCCCUCGCAUAGAUUUGGACCGCACAGCUCCAUGACAAUGGUGCCAUAGCACUUGGCACCAUCUCUCUCCCUGACAAAACCCUUGAAGGAGACGACCCCAGGGCAGGCGUGAAGCUUGGACAUGAGCCGAGCUUCUCUCUCGGCAUCACUCCCCGAUCGAAACAACUUUCCAGCAUAUGUGUUGCGGCCAUUAUGGAUCAUGAAAACUUGCCCUUGCCCUCCACAUCCCAGCUGCUUGCCCCUCAUGUAAAACUUGAGAAGCUCACUACAGUCAUCCUCGCUCAACUCACCAGUGUCACGCGCCAUCGCUCCCAGACCUUCUUGCUGAAUGGAAGACCUAGCUUCUUCAAAACGGGUUUAUAUCGACGGCUGGGAUGAUGUUUGAUGGACGGUGGCGAUUUCAUGGGACAACCUGCCAAGUAGUGACGCUAGUGUCUUCUCGCCCAAAACAUUGGUGGAUCAUCAGCUCUAUCUGUUUGGAAAUAAACCAUCCGGAUGAGGUGGGAGGAUACUACCACUACACCAGCUGCGCUUCACCAUGGAAAAACCUUAGUUACACGAGGCAGUGACAAAAAUUUCUCUAAGUUCUACUAUAAACUAAGUCGUCACAAAACGUUUGGUCUUAUGAGCUCGAUGCUUUCAAAGACGAGUUAUAUGUGCCUGGAUUGCUGUGUUGAAUCAUGUGUUGGAUUAUUAAACUUGUUGCCACAGGCCGUUGGCCUUCCACUUCCCGGGGGUAUAAAACGGUGAGCUCUUCCCUGAUUUUUGCUCUAGUCGCUUCGUUUCCUUUCCUGGUCUCAGAGUGCCGAAUUUUGUGAAUCUCAUUCAUCGCAAUGCAGGUCCUUUCGAUCGAUCAUCCUCAUGAUAGCUACGACGAGAGAACGAAGGAUAGAUCCUCAAAACUUUAUCGUGCUUCGCAGCAAGCGCAUUGAUGUCGAUCAUCACUUCACUCUGCUUCUUGUCGAGAAAAUUUUGUCAAGAAAGCCUUCAGCCUUCCACCUUUGCGGGCUCUUCGUCUCGAGUAGAUCUUUCCCCGGGAUUUGCACGAAAUUUCCUACAUCUUUUCGUCUAAGCCAAAAACUGGAAGAACUCACCAAUGCCCCCAGCACUCUGGCAGCGACGCGAGCUCCUUCUCCAUCCUACUCGCCAUUUCCUGGCGGAUCUGGCGCUGCAGCUCCCUUGUCCCAGCCAUGGUCGAUUGCGCGUGCUGAUUCGUCUGAAUUUCGCAGCCAGUGGCAGGGAUCGUCCCAUGUCACGCCGUGGCGCGUCUUGGGGAACGAUAUCCUCGGCACGGCAGGAUCGAAUUGCUGCAAUGCGCGAUCUGGAAGAGAAGAGAGUGCGCGCGGCAAAACACCAUAAAGCCCUUGCUUGGCAAGCAUAUUCCUGGAACCUUUCAAGCUAGCAAAAUGGCGGGAGGAGGAGCGGGUUGUGGAGAUUAUGGCUUCUCGUGGAAUGUGGCCUAAGGCGCAGUGGCUUUCUUCUUGCCUGCGCGAGCAGAUCGGAGCGUCAUAGUUGCCGGUAGACUUGUGCACCAAGAAAUGCUUUGCGCAGCUCCUCGCUGCCGAUUUCAAUCUCGUCACCGAUGCUGUGCUUCCUCCAGGGGUCCAGGCGAUGCACAAAGUGGAGCUAGCGGGCCCUUUCGUUCUACAAGUAAGUGAAAGUUUUUCUAUAUUUUUUUUUAUCGACGGGAGUAUGGCACACAGUUAGAUGAAACGGUGGACAUUUGCUGCGGCCUCAAGGAUCGCUACCGGGACCAAGACCGAGACCAAGGCCGAGGCCGGGACCGAGUCUGAGUCCGAGUCCGAGUCCGAGUUUGAGAGGGUGAAAGCCCAAAGUGUUCGUCUCCCAGACCCUGGGGGCUUUGGUGAGCUCCAAAAGUAUACUAGGGGGAGGACUCCAGUGGAGCCCAUUUGGCCAGGAAAGGCCAGUUUAGCCCAGGAAGGCUGUGCCCAAGUGUUGGGUGAUGGGAUAUCCAUUGAGAAGUCCAAGACUAGAGUGAAUACAGACUGACAAGUGGGGUAGCUUGGUGAAGUGUUCAAGAGCCGACUCUAGUUCCCCCAGGAGAUCGAAUGGCCGAUGCUCCCAGUCCAAGUGUGGGUGGCACUACCUACUUGGAUACCUAAUGUGGCUCAACGGAACCUCGCUCUAAACCCAUGGCUAGAGCACCUAAAGGCAGAAGGUGGGGAGAGUACCCACGGGGCCUGCAUAAGGCCACAGUGUUCCGAAAUGUUGUCCCGAAGUCCCAGCCUGUGAAAAGGAAGAGGAGCAAUCCUCGAGUGUAGAAACCAGGGAUGCAGUGAUGGGAGGAGGAAGUCCCAGGAGACUAGGGGACUUAGUGGUCGGGCAUGUGGGCCUUGAACAAGUGGCAGUGAUAGCAAACACAGCCAUGGAUAGAAAGGGUCUUGGUGAGGACCGGAAAGGGAUAUUGGGGAAGGCUAUUCCCCAUGCCUACGGGCAUCCUAAGGAUACUAAGGAGUGGAUUUGGGAUAAUCAAUCAUGGAUGGAUGCCCCAGUCCUUGAGAGACAGGACGGUGACGCAACUGGUGUUAGACCACCGGUGUGACCAAGGUAAAGGAGCAUAGCCUUAGCGUAAUGGGCUGAUAUGUCGGUGGUAUCUUGGGGUGUCGAUCUUAGGACUGGACAUGUGGAGCACUUUGACUAAGUGCAAAGGAUGAGUGGCAUAGAUGCCAUUCUCGGGACAAGCAGGUCCUAUGUCCUGAGUUGGACUUAUGAAGGUUGUGAGUGAGACUCCUCAAAGUGGUCAGAGGUGUGGUUAAGUGACUAAAGUAGAAUGGAAAAUUUAGUCACUUACAUACAUCUUUGAAGCGGGCUUGUUGUAAUGGAAAAGCACUUUUGUGUUACUUGUUGUUUAUUUAUGACUUGGGGGACCAAGGCACGUGCAGGGGAGAAGCAGUAGUACAGGAUGUACUUGACGAGUUUUCUGAUGUUUUUCCAUUUGAACUUCUUCAUGGGUUGCCUCCAUUACGAGGUGUGGAGCAUGGGAUUAUAUUGGAGCCGGGGAUGCGGCCAAUUUACCGGCAUCCAUUUUGGUUAAGUUAUGCGGAGGAGCAAGAAGUUCAACAACAAGUCAAGGGUUACUUGAGUUUGGAUUUAUUUAGCCAAGUAAGUCUCCGUUUAGUGCUCCGGCCUUGCUUGUGAAGAAGAAAGACAGUUUAAUGUGGAUGUGUAUUAACUACUGUGCUUUGAACAAGAAGAUAGUGAAGGAUAAGAUGCCAAUGGCACAUGUGGAUGAUAUUUUAGACAAGUUUGGUGAAGCAUGAGUGUUUACCAAGAUUGAUCUAAGGAGUGGAUAUCAUCAGAUUGCAAUGGAUGAUGCAUUUAUCUCCAAGACGGCAUUCAACACAAGCUUUGGACAUUUUGAGUUUACAGUUAUGCCAUUUGGUUUGACGAAUGCACUAGCCACAUUUACUCGGUUGAUGAUGGAGGUAUUUAGGCAUUAUCUUUAUGAGUUUGUGGAGAUUUUCUUGGAUGAGAUUCUUGUUUUUAGCAAGAAUAUGGGGAGCAUAACGUGCAUUUGCGCAAAGUUCUUUUAUUACUUCGAGAUAGCAAACUUUAUGCCAAGAAGAGAAAAUGUGAGUUUGCAAAGUUAGAGGUGGAAUAUUUAGGCCAUAUUGUGAUAUUUAAGGGUGUCAAGACAGAUCCAAGGAAGGUGGCUGUGGUGGAAAACUAGCCUACACCGACUACAGUGGCCGAGUUGUAUAGUUUUCUUGGUAUGGUUAGUUACUACUAAUGUUUCUAGCAUAAGUUUGUAGAGGUGGCUAUGUUUACGAUGCUUUUGACAUGGUUAUUACGCAAGAAUGUGUCAUUCGAAUGGAAGAAGCCACAAGAGAAGAGUUUUGUGGCACUGAAACGAUUGUUGAGCGAAACUCUAGUGCUUCACAUUGUUGAUCUAUCAAAACCUUAUGAGGUGACAUGCGAUGCAAGUGGUUAUGCAUUGGGAGGAGUUCUCAUGCAAGAGGGACAACCUAUUGCAUAUGAGAGUCAAACUUUGAAUUUCAUGGAGCAACGCUAUUCCACAUAUAAGUAAGAGUUACUCUCUAUUGUUCAUGCUUUGCGGACGUGACAGCAUUAUCUUUAUGGUGCAGUGUUUGUGGUGUUGACAGAUUACAAACCACUUGUGUAUCUUUUCACACAGAAGGAGUUGAACACUAAGCAAGCUCGUUGGAUGGUCAAACUCAUGGAGUUUAAGGAGUUUCCUAUUGAGUAUCGUCCAGGAAAAUCAAAUGUGACGGCAGAUGCUUUAUCUCGUGUUCGUCAUGUGACAAUGUUACAAACACAAUUUUAUCAUCAUUUGAGUAAGGUGGUCAGCGAGUUUGGGUAGUUUGUUGAGCAUGCUUAAGCUCAAGAUGUUAAGGUGGCCUCUUUGCAAGACCAGAUGGAAGCCCCUUUCUCAUUGGUGGAUAGGAUUCUCUACUACAAUGACUAUGUAUAUUUGUCACAGGUGGAUGUGUUAAUUACUCAAGUUUUAUCCCACUAUUAUAAUCAUCUAGAAGCCAGUCAUUUUAGGGGGAAAAAGACGUAUGAGUUGAUUAAGCACAAUUUUUAUUGGAGGAAUAUAAAAGCUAAUAUCCUCAAGUAUUGUAAAUCAUGCGAGCUCUGUUAGCAGGUUAAGGUGCCACAGGAAAAGCUAAGGGGACUUUUGCAACCUUUACCUAUUCCUAAGAGCUGUUGGUGUAGUAUUUCUAUGGACUUCAUUACUUGUUUACCACGAACAUUGAGGCAAAAGGAGCAAGUAUGGGUUAUAGUGGAUUGGUUGACGAAGUAUGUGCGGUUGUUGGCUCUUCAGAAGAUUGUCAUUGCCUCAGACUUGGCUGUGGUUUACUUGGAGAAGGUUUUUCCUGAUUUUGGUUUGCCGGAGAAUAUCAUUAAUGAUCAAGAUUCAAAGUUCACUAGUGGAUUUUGGAAGAGCUUUGCAAAGGCUAUGCAAGUGACUUUGAAACUCUCGAGUAGAGAUCAUUCUCAGACGGAUGGGCAAACCAAGCGUGUGAAUCAGGUGGUGAAGGAUAUGCUACGUUGUAGUAUUGGUCAAAGGCAAGGAUAGUGGGAUCUAUAUCUUCCAUUAGUGCAAUUUGCUUACAACAAUAGCCAAUACAGUGGAACCAAGCUAAAUCCUUACUUUGCCAUGUUUGAAAGGCAUCCUUGAAUAGCGGUGGAGUUGAGAUUGCAUUUAAGUAAGGACGUUCAAGAUAAGCUUGAUUCUGAGGCGACUAAUCUGGCUACAGAACUUGAUGAGAUUCUAGUGGUGUGCAAAUAGAAUUUGCAGGCAACUCAGGAUAGAGCAGAGAAGUUUGCUAAUGAGUAUCGCCAAUUCUGGGAAUAUAAGGUGGGGGAUCUCGUCUUCGUGCAAGUGAUCUUUCCGUCAAGUGAGCGGCAAAACACCUUGGUGCCUUUACAGACAAGGAAGAGUGAUAAACUUUCCCAUCAAUAUGCUGGUCUAUAUAAAGUGCUGGAGCGUAUUGGUAAAGCGGCUUAUCAGGUGUGGCUACUAGUUGGGGUGAAAAUUCAUCUGGAAUUUUAUGUCAGCCAAUUGAAAGGUGUACUAUCUCAGAGUGACGGCCUAAUGCCUCCUUGAUGUAUAUGACUGUGGAAGAUAGACCUGAGCAGGUUCCUUAGAAAGGGUGAUCACUGGUAUAACUUGUCCUUGGAACAAGGACUUUGUUAGGGGGAAGAAUUGUUAGGUGCUAGCUUUGACCACAUGGUCAAUGUUUGUCAAAAGGACACUCAAGGGUAUAUUAAGGCAUGUUAGGGUAAGGGACUUAACCUACUUUGUGGAGCAGCAAUGCGGUUGGGUAGUGAGGGACUUCAAGAGGUGGUGAAGAGGUGAGAAAACCCCUCUUCGCUGGAAAUCUAUUGUUAGUAAGAAAACAAAAGAGACAAUGGCCCGAUCUCCAAGGGCAGAGAAGAAGCACGAGUAAAAGAAUGCUGUGUAUUGAUAAGACAAACGAUGGAAUGGAGAUAGGGAUCCACAAUUUGGAUUCCCCCUUUUGAAAUGUUAGCGGUUCUAACUGCUAGCAUAUACCAUAUGCUGUGCAUGAUUUAAUCUAUGGCUCCGAUGCAGCCUUGGGUUCAAAGUCAGAGUCCCCUGAACCUUGUUUUUGGUUGAGACACUCUGCUCCCCUGACAGAACUAGACACCGUCCUCGGUGCGAACAUAGUCAGUUUCCAUCGCUUGUUGCUGCUGCUGCUCCAGUCGAUAGAGGCGACGUUUUUGCUGUGGGAGUGUAAGCUCGUGGUUAGGGACGCUGUCUGGUGGAUCUGUCCCAUCUUCCUGGAGGUCGGCUACCUCAGCCAGCAGGGUGGUAUGAUCAUCCUCGAGUUUUCGGUAGCGGGUGUUGAGCUCUUCGUAUUUGAAUUUGUAGGUGAAUUCGUGAGCUGCUGAUGGGGUUGAUGGCUGCUUGGAGACGAUCUUCCUGAUGUCCCGGAGGUCAGUGCGGAUCUGCUUCAUCUCUUCAAUCUGAGUAUCCAGCCGGUGGUUUAAAGGCUCAUAAAAUUCCUUCUUGAUCGCUCCCCGGGUGUAUAUGAAGGAGUCUUGCUUGAGAAGAUGCUGUGCAAUGUCUGCUGGUGUUGGGAAGUAGUUUGCUUGCUCGCAGUACAUGCGUUGAUCCAGGGCUUCAAACAACUUGCGGGUGCAGUAGCUUGGGUCGCGAAGUUUAUCUUCGUACUCCUUCCUGAUCUCAUCAUAAUCACGGCGUACCUGACUCUGUGGCUGAGGCAUGGUUGCUGCUCCUGCUCCUGCUCGGUGAUCCUGGUGUUUCUCGCUAGGGUUCGCUCUGUUCUUGGUCCCGGGAGUUGAAGUUACUGGAGGCUGAAUCUGCUUCAUUGGAUGUGGGUGACGUGGUUGGGCCAGAUUCUGUGAGGUGGUUGGAGAUGAGCUUUUCAGUUUGAUGGUGGAUGAACGGCCCAGAUGUGGCGUUGAAAUUAAUUUAUCCGUUGAGAAAUUUUUCGCUUGGAAUUUUGUUGAAGGGGCGGAAUUUUUGUGAAUGCUGGUCGUGGUAUUUGCUGGAGGAGACAUGGUUGUGUGUUCUUCAAGUGAUUGGCGAAGGUAGUCAAUGUUUUCUUUUGUAGAACGUGUCAAGGAGGUCGGGGCGUUGAGAAUGUUGUUCUCAGCUGGUGUAGAAAUUGAGUUCUGGGCGAUCAACUGACGUUUUUCUUUGGCGAUGUUGAUGUGUUUGUGAGAAGUUGUCAGUUUUGGGGCUGAUUCGAGUGGAUGCGGGCUCUGGGGUGAUUGUUGAUGGUGGUGUGAGUUGUGUUCCUUGUCGCUGAUGAUGAGGUGCUCUCGGAUCAGCGGUUUGGGAGCUGGAUUCGCUGGUGUUUUGCGUGUGAAGCAGCGGCGAAGUGGAGUUGAAUUGUUGGAGUGUUUGUUGCUGGAGCUGGUGUUGUUGGAGUGAGUUGAGCCUGAUUGUUGAGAUGCUGGCUUCGGUUUCUUGCUGGGAGUUGCUCCUUCUGAUUCUGAGUGUUCUUCGGAGCUGUCGCUUUGUUCUGUGGAGUUCGUUUGGGUUGUCCAUGGUUGCUUGUUGGGAAGAGCUUGGUGUAGAGCGAUCAGCAGUGGGAAGAUUACUGUGCGCAUGGUCCUCUUGUUGAGUGUGGCGAGGAUGGUGCGGUCGAGAAGCUUGAGAAGGAGCUCGUGGAGAUGAUGAGCCACGUUCACACGUUUGCCGUCGAGUAGAGCUCCGUAGACUUCUGCUGUGCGCUUGCCGAUGGUGCGAUCUGUUGGGCGAAGUUCGUAGUAGAGGAGGAGGGCUUUGAGUCGAUCCAUAUGCUGCUCCUCGAUGUCCUCCCAUGUGAGCUCACCGGUAAUUUCUCGAUUGGCCUUGAUGAUUUGCUGUGGAACUUCUCCUGAAAAUUUGAGCAGUCCCUUGUUGGAGAUUUUGAAAACAGAGGUGAUUCUUGCUGGGCUGAGGGUGAUCUCGUUGGUGCCGUCGGUUAUGGUGCUGUUCUUGGGGUUGAAGGAGGCGGCCAGUUUCCUUGCUAGUUUCUGAUCAGGGUGUGUUGAAAAGGCCUUGUGGAGGAGCUCGAAUCCGUGGUCCUUGAGCCAGGUGGUUGUGUCGUUGCUGGGAAGCCUAGGAAUAUGGUGUAUGACGUAUCUGAGGCGUCGGGGUGGAUGAGCUGGCAUCUUUCUCUUCAUUUUCUGCGAUCGAAGUGCUCGCCCCGUUAGGGUUCUUGAAACCUGUAACUGUUGGUUGGCUGAUCGUGCGGCGCUCGAUUGCUGGUGAUGAACGGUCAAGAUUUGUUGACGGAAUUGAUGUGGUUUGAUUUGGCUUGAUUGCAAAUCAAUGGUGGAUAUUGGUGAUGAAGUUAACUCAAGUUCAACUGUUGAUAUUUGCUCAGGUGGCGUUGAUCCAAUGGUAGCUUGGGACUUACAGAUUUUUGCUGCUGUUUGUUGCUGAAGUUGGUGGAUGAGUUCGUGUUGAGUUGAGUUGAGUUGUAUUGAACUGAUUUGAGUUAAAGUUUGUCUAUUGGGGUGAGUGUUGAUUGUUGGUUUUGGGGUGUUUGUCGGUUUGGGUCUGAAAUUUGUUGAGGUGCUGAUGUUGAAUAUGUUGACGUGAUAUGGUCGAAGCUUGUUGAGGUUGACGAUCUCAGUGAAGUCUUCGGCGAGUGUGCUGACUUUGGCGGUGCCGUUGGGGUAUAGUUCAAUGAUUUUGAAAGGUCCUUGCCAGUUGGUGUGGAGUUUUCGGCCAAGUUUGCCGAUGGGUCCUCGGUACCAGAGAACAUGGUCGUCGACGCUGUAUUUGGGAAUCUUAUGCCGGGAUGCUUGUCGGUCAUGUCGAGCUUUUCUCUGUUUUUGGAUGGCAUGAAGUGUCCAGAGGGCGUUGAGUCGGAGUUCGUCGAGAUGUUCGAGUUGCUGAAGCCUUUCUCGAACUGCAUGUCGGGUGUCGAGAUUAUACUUGACGGUGACUCGCAUGCUUGGGACGAUGAAUUCAAUUGGUGUGAUGGCUUCUGUUCCAAAGGCGAGUUUGAAUGGCGUCAUGUCAGUGGUGACUUUAUACGCAGUGCGAUAGGCCCAAAGUACGUCGAGAAGUUUGUCGUCCCAGUCUUUGCCGGAAUCGUUGAUGACUUUUUUGAGGAUGGUCUUCAGUGUUUUGUUCGUUGCUUCUGCUUGACCGUUGCCUUGAGGAUAGUAUGGUGUCGACGUUUUAUGUCGGAGUUUGAACUCGGUGGCGAGAUGUUCGAUGGUUAGGUUGAUGAAGUGGGUGCCUCUAUCGGUGACAAGUUCAAGUGGUGUGCCGAAACGAGUGAUGAUAUUUUCGUAGAUGAAGGUUGCUGUUGCUUUUGCUGUGGCAUGUUGGAGAGGUAUUGCUUCGGCCCACUUGGUAGUGUAAUCGGUGGCGACGAUGAUGUACUGAUUUCGUCGACGGGUGCUGACUUGGGGUCCGACGAAGUCGAGUCCCCAUUUCUGAAAUGGUGCCAUUGGGAAUGUUGGGUUGAGUUGUUGAGUCUGAGUUUUUGGUGGUAAUCGAUGUCUUUGACAUGUGUCGCGGCGUUUGCAGAAUUCUUCAGUGUCGUGCCAAAGUGUCGGCCACCAGAGGCCGGCUUGAAGAAUCUUCCGAGUGGUUGUGUCAGCAGCGAAGUGUCCGCCGGAAGGUCCAUCAUGAGCUUCCUUGAUGAUUUGAGUUGUGUGUGGCUGCUUGAUGCAUCGGCGAAGAAUGUUGUCAAUUCCGAGUUUGUAGAGAGUGCCUCCAAUGAUUGAGUAUUGUCGGGUUUUAGCAACAAAAGUCUUCUUUUGGUCGGACGUAGUGUACUGAUCUGGAACUUUUGCUGAGUUGAGGUAACUGAAGACGUCAUCGAGCCAGGUUGCUGGUAUUGAAACUCGGAAUAGGUUUGAGUCAGGUAAGUCAUCGGUAAGUACUUCGGGUUUGUCACCGGUGGUGAUCCGGCUGAGAUAAUCUGCUUGUUCAUGAUUUUUGCCGGGUUUGUGGACGAUCUCGAAGUUGUAUUCUUGUAGUAAAAGGAACCAUCUUGAUAUUCGACCAGAUAGUAUUGGCUUGUUGAUGAGGUAAAGGAGUGCCUUGUGGUCGACGAAAAUUACGACUUUAGUUGACAGUAUAUAGUGUCGAAACUUCUGAAGUGAGUAGAUCAUGCCGAGAGCUUCUUUCUCGGUGGUGGUGUAAUUUCGUUCAGCUGGGUUGAGUAGUCGGCUGGCGUAGUAGAUCGGUUGAUCGCGGUUGUCGUGUUGAGUUUGGCUCAGAAUUGCACCAGUGGCAACGUCGGAAGUGUCGACAUGAAUGUGGAACUCUUGUGUCCAGUCGGGCUUGGCAAGGAUCGGUGCUGUUGUUAGUUUGAGUCGGAGAUUAUCAAAUGCUUGUUGCUGUUCGGACGUCCACGUCCAUUGGGCAUCUUGUUUUAGUUCAUCGGUGAGUGGUUUGGCAAUGUGAGCGUACCUGUGGAUGAAUCGUCGGUGAUAUCCGACUUUGCCGAGGAAGCGCCGAAGUUCUUUCUGGUUCUUCGGCGGUUCAAGUUUGGAGAUGACGUCAACUUUGUCCUUGUCGAUGAGAAUGCCAUCUUUGCAGACAACGUGGCCGAGGAGUACUCCAGAUUUGACGAAGAAAGCGCAUUUGUCGGGGUUGAGUGCUAUGUUGUUCUCCUCACAUUUGUUGAGGCAUUUCUCCAGGCAUUCAAGAUGUUGAUCUUCCGAGCUGAAAACGCUGAAGUCGUCCAUGAAGACUCUCAUGAAGUCAGUGAGGUAGUCUCGGAAAGUGUUGGUAACAAGCCUUUGGAAGGUGAAUGGGGCGUUGCAGAGUCCAAAAGGCAUUCGUCGAUAAGCAUAGGCUCCCCAUGGACUGAUGAAUGCUGUCUUGUGCUGAUCUUCUUCGGCGAUGUGAAUUUGGUUGUAGCCGGAGAAACCAUCGAGGAAGGAAUACAUCUCGUGUCCAGCGACUGCGUCAAGAACUUCGUCGGUAAAUGGUAUCGGGAAGACAUCUUUUUCAGUGGCGUCGUUGAGCUGUUUAUAGUUGAUGCAGAUUCGAAGUUUGCCGUUUUUCUUUGGCACAACCACCAGUGGUGAAAGCCAUAUCGGAUUCUGAAUCGGGUAGAUGUACUCAACUUGGAGAAGCUUGUCAAGUUCUUUCUUUACUUGUUCCAUCAGAUUCGGGUUCAUCCGGUAGGCUGCUUGUCUUCUUGGUUUUGAGUCAGGAAGAAGGGUGAUGGUGUGAAGGCUGAGUUUUGGCGAAACUCCCUUAAGGUCUCGAUAACUCCAAGCGAACAAGUGUUUCUUCUUUCGGAGAAGAUUGAUGCCUUUGUCUCGAAAACUUGCCGAGAUGUCAGUGGCGAGUACAAUGUAGUGUUCGUUGCCGUCGUCGGCAAGGCUGACUUUUUCGAGUUUUUGGUCUGCUGGAAUUGACGGAAUGUAGGCAACUUUGUUGUGGUUAUCGACUGUGAAUGCCGGUGGCGCUUCGAGUUUUGUAUCUCGAGUGACUGGAUUGUUCAGUGCUGAUGUAAUCGGGGGUCGUUCUCGUUGGAAGUCGGCGACAAUUCGGAAGAGGUCGAUUUCGGCCAAAGGUUCGAGAUCGGGGUAGGCUGUGAGAAUUUGUUGUUCUUGAUAGUCGUCGAGGCCAUCUUCGAGAUUAUAUUCUUCCAAGUCAAUAGGUCGGUUGUGGCUGGACAGCAAUUUAGUCGUUUUUGUCGACACAGUUGUUGGUCCGUCUGGUCCGUGAAGGAUAAGAUUGUCAUUGGGCCAAUCUUGAUAGACUUGGGCAGUUCGGAGCCAAGGUCGACCGAGGAGAAUUGAGUAUCCGUCGGUCUGCUCCGGUAGUUUGAGGACGACAUAGUUGACUGGUAUUUCGACGCCUUGAAUGGUGGUGUUGACUUUUCGGAUGAUGCCUCUGGGUUGAACAGAUCGGUGGUCGGCCAUUCGGACAUUGAAAGGUGCUGGGUGAACUGGGCCAAUGUUGAGUUGUUGAACAAGACUUUCUUCAAUAAUAUUAACGCUGGAGCCGCCGUCAAUUAUGGCUCCUCGAACAAGAUGUUUGUCGAGUCGUAGGUCGAUUGUCGGAACAUCAUUGUCACAAUCGCCUGGUUGAAUCUCGGUUCGAAAUGUGUCAACAGCUGUCUGUGUCGAGUUGAGUGUGGGCGAGUCUAUCAAAGUGUUGGUCGGUGCAGAUGUCAGAUCGGUGAGCUGUUUGGUGAGGUAGGGUGCAAUCUUCAGCAGUUGGCCGAUGGUGAUCUGAAUAUUUUGGUUGAGGAUAGUCUCUGUGACUGCUUGGAUUUUGUCGAAGUUUGCCGAAUUGUGUUCUGGUGUCGGUGUCGAUGUUGAACGAUUUGUCUGUCCGUUUUCUGGUAUUGAGUCUUGGCAUUGUUGUCGAGCUGGUGAUGGUUGAGCUUCAUUGUCGGAGUCUAAAAUCACUAAUUCGGGUGGUUGUAGAGCGAGUUGCUGCUGUAUCUUGGCAGCUAACUUCUGCUUCUUUUUCCAUUCCCGGAGUUUUGUCAGGCUCUCAGGGUCUUUCUCUUCACUAUCUCCGGAAUCUCUGUCCUGUUGUUGUUGUUUUUCUGCUCGAAUUUGUGCUCAGGUUUGUACUGCCAUGACUUGAGGAUCUGAGUCGUCAUUGUCGGCAUAAGGUAGUUCGUCGGUCUCGACCAUCCUUGUUGUUGGUGGUUGCUGCUGGUUCUGAUCUUGUUGUCGAGGAGGCGGUGGACCAAGUCUCGGCGGACCGCCUUGGUUUUGAAGUCGAGGUUGCCAUGGUCGGUUGUUGUAGUUGCCUUGGUAGGCCUGGUCUUGAUAACCUUGGCCUUGGUAUCUUGGGUAUUGUUGGUAUCCUUGGUUGUAGUUGUCUCGAUUUGCCGGGUAGUUCCGGUUCGGCAGGUAUUGUCGAUCGUUGUAGUUGUUGUUGUAGUCGUUGUUGUAAUUGUUGUAGUUGUUGUAGCGAGGUUGAUCAUUCCAUUGUCGAGUCUGGUGUUGGAAGUUGUUUCUGAGCGGUCUCCAGUUUGUUGGAGGUGGUGCUUGGUGAUUGUCGAAGUAUUGAUUUGGAUAUGCUUGUCGAAACUGCUGUCGGGGAGAGUUCGAGACUUGUCGAACUUCUGGAGAAUUUCGAAAUCUGCAAGUCUUGGCGUCAUGACCUUCUUUGGCACAGAUUUGGCAUUUGGAGAUUUGGAGCUUGCAGUCACUUGCCGGAUGUCCUUCGUUCUUGCACUUAGUACACCAAAUUCCAGAUCGAAAUUCUUUGAUAUCGGUCUUGGCUUUUCCCUUGAGCUUGUCGAUUGUUUUCCUGAGUUUCCGAAGUUUUGACUUGGUGCUCUCUCCGAGUUCAUCGUCAGAGUCGUUAUUGGAACUGCUAUCAGAAUCUGAGUUAUCUGUGUCAUCUACUUGUGCUGUCAUUCGUCGAGCUUGAACAUCUUGAAGGGCUCUUGCGAGUUCGAGGUAAGUGGCAACGUUGAUGUGUGUUGCUGCUUCUCGGAGGGAUCGUCGGAGUCCUUGCAUGUACCAUUGGUAAAGUAAUGUUUCGGUGGCACUGUUGCUGCAUUUGCUAGCAUGUCGAGUGAAGGUUUGAGUGUAGUCGUCGAUAGAUUGACCGGACUUCUGCUUGAGUUUUUGGAUCUUGUGAAGUCGUUGGCUUUGAGUGAGGGAAGACUUGAAUCGGUCUACGAGUUUGAGUGUGAGGUCGUCGAAACUUGUAUUUUGAGGAAGCGUUUGAGCCCAUUCGUUGGCUCUCUUUCGAAGGGUACAUCGGAAAUAGUAUGGAAGUUCGGUCGUCUGGUUGUUGAUUCGGAUGGCUUCUCGGAACUGUUCAACAUGUUUCUCGGCAUCUUCUGACUUCAGACCAUGAAAUAGUGGAUAGGAGACAUGUCUUCCGACUGGUAUGUUGGCGACAGCAGUAGUGACUGCCAUUUGCUGUUGGUAAUAAUGUCGGUAUUGUCGAGGUUGUUUUGUCAGGUUGUUACUGUGGAGUCCUAAGGUGAUUUGGAGCAAGGGGUUGUCAGGGUCGACGGCAAAGUUGGUGUAAGAGGAAGGUGGUGAAUUGUUGUUGUUGUUUAGUGGACUCUUCUUUGUUGUUCCUUCUGUGUUGGGACUGUUGUCGGGUGUGUCUUCGACGUCGUCGUAGUCGUCGGUGUCGGGUUGCUUGCCGGUGUUGAUUUUCAGAAGAUGGUGUUCGAACUUGUUGUCGACGUACUUGUCGGAGUUAUGUUGUGUUGGUUGUGGUUGUUCUUCUAAAUUGUCAAAGAGUUCUUCGAUCGUAUAGUUGUGUGGUGAUUGUGGUUGCUGAGGAAGAUUGUUGUCGUCGACAAUUGGUUCGUCGAUCUCGUUGUUGUUGGAUGAUUGUAGCUGUUCGGCAGGUCGUUGUGAGUUGUUGAUGUGGAGUGCUUGACUAUUGGACGAUUCGGGUUGUUAGUCUUUACUGCUGCUGACUGGGUAUAUUGGAGUGCGACUGUAAUUGGUGAAGUCGAGUUGUUGUCUAGUCGGCGCGUUGAAGUCGAAAGCGUGUUCGAAAGGUCUUGCUGAUAGCGGGCUUCGGUAGAUGUUGGAAGCAAAUGUAGGAUAUAUUGGUGUUGUGAAGAUCGGUCGGUAUGGCGAAAAUGGUGCUGGUCUGGUGAAGUCUGUGAAGCUGGGCUGGAAACUUGGUCGUUCGUCGUCACUGUAGAUCGGGUUAGUGAAUGUACCUUUGAAGUGGUUGUAUGCUGCUUGAAAAAUGUUUUGUUGCUCGGGCGUAGUCUGUGUCGACUGCUCGAAUGUUCGGUUGGGCUCGGGCACUUUGGUGGGUGCCGUCGAGGGUGCUGAUUCAGGCUCGGGCACUUCGGUGGGUGCUGUCGAGGGUGCUGCCGGUGGUGUGUCCGGUGGUGUUGUGUAGUUGUUGUAUUCUUCGCGGAUGUCCGAUACUGAUUCGUCGGAGUUAGCUCGCGGUAAUAAUUCGUGUCGGAUGUAAUUCUCUCUCUUGGAGGGUCUAAGAAUUUGAUUCAACUUCUCUUGGUCUUUCUUUCUCUUUGUUUCUAAAUUCUUCAAAUCUCUAUCUAAAUGUCGGAUAAGCCAUUGUCGGUCUUCUUCCGACUUGCUGGAUGUUCUUCAUGGUUUUGGAUACAUGCAUUCUUCUACUGGUUGUCGGUGUCAGAUUUGUGUCUGCAGUCAAUCAUGCAGUUCGGGCAGAACUUGGGGAAGACUGUCGAUGGGCCAAUUGUUGAUAAAGUCGUUGUGAGCUUGUUCUUUCUUUUCAGUGCAAAUAUCGACGGUGGUGUGUGUUGGGUUGGGUUGUGUUCAGCCGAGUUGUGUUGAGUCGAGUGUGCUGGUGCAGUAUGCAAACUGGUCUUCCACGUGCUGGUGCCGAGAUGGAGUUCAAUGAAGAGUUUCGGAUAUUCGGGUUUGUCUGGAAUGAUUUCUUCGAUAAUGUCGUCGAGUUGUUCGAGUCCGGAUUGGGUGAUGGCGUGAUUGGCGAGAGUUGUUGCAGCGAACGUGUUGAUUUCGAACCGAGUUCGGACUGUUGUUUCAGUGCUGAGCUGCUGACUUUGUCGGAGGGGUUGUCGAAAAAUCGGUGGUGCGUUCUGAAGUUGUCCCUCGACAAGUUGUCCGAUACCGGGUAACAGAGUGAUGGGUUCGUCGUUGGUGUAGGUUUUGAGGAUGUGCUUCGGUAUUUGGAGUGGGCGCAGGAAUUGGACUUGUGUCGGAACGCUAGGAUUGCUGGGUCGACGACUGCACAGAAGAUGGGCUCGUUUCGGUAGUGGUGUCGGUUUGUGUCGAGGGCGCUGGUUGAUGUCUCGAACUUGGAGUGGGUGGUCUUGUGCUCGGAGAUGGAGUUUGCCAAUGAAGCUGCUGAGGGCGUUUGCUGAUGAAGGUGCUGGUAGAUUGGAGUUUCUUGUCAAAGAGAGUCGUUGGUGUUCUUCAUCGGUGAUUGGACUUGGAGAUCUCGAGAGAGAGCUUGCAGAUUCUUCAAAGAUCUCCUCUGGAAAGUUUCUGUCUUUACUGCGUUGGGCAGCAACCGCUUGGACGCCGUUGAUCCAUGGUGGCAGUGGCAUUUGCGUGUUGAAUUUGGGCAAAUGUACAAAUUAGGGCGUAAUUUGGGUGAAUUUGGGCGAGAUGGGUAGAUUUCUGGAUCGUUCUUGCUAUCUGCGCACAGAGAAUGGAGAAAAAAUGGAAGAAUUUGUGAACCUGAAGGGGAAUUCAGAAGCCGUGGUCGCCAAAUGAAGAGGUGAGAAAACCCCUCUUCGCUGGAAAUCUAUUGUUAGUAAGAAAACAAAAGAGACAAUGGCCCGAUCUCCAAGGGCAGAGAAGAAGCACGAGUAAAAGAAUGCUGUGUAUUGAUAAGACAAACGAUGGAAUGGAGAUAGGGAUCCACAAUUUGGAUUCCCCCUUUUGAAAUGUUAGCGGUUCUAACUGCUAGCAUAUACCAUAUGCUGUGCAUGAUUUAAUCUAUGGCUCCGAUGUAGCCCUGGGUUCAAAGUCGGAGUCCCCUGAACCUUGUUUUUGGUUGAAACAGGUGGCAUAGCAUAAUCUAGGGCAGUUAGAUCUUUGUCUUUUUGUGCCGGAUUAUAACAAGAGAAUGGGGCUGUUAGAAGAGUUAUGACUUUCAGCUUCUGUUGACGAGGGUGUGAACUUAUAAGAAAAACAUGAUAAAUUAUAAGCAACCAAAGGGAACAAUUCGAGAGACAAUCCGUAAUAGUUUAAAUAUAGAACGAAAUGGCUUAGGAAUAAAAAUGUACCCUUUUUUUUAAUUGAUUAAGGGUCUUGGGAUAUUUAGGGUUAAACAUCUUUCGAUUUGAAUAAUACUAAGCUUUGGUGACUUCCCGGGAAAUCCAAAUUUAGGAGUUUACACUUAUAUGGAAAAAUAAUAAUGUAUUUUUCUCAAACUAUAUAGUAUUUACAAUUUUAAAAAUAAAAGAUACCAGACAAUUAAUAGUAACAUUUUAUGAAAAUGGUUUUAAGAAAAUAUUUUGGAGGAAUAAUUUUAACUAUAAUCUUAAUUAAAAUAAUGCUAUUUUAAUUUCUUAUUUUUAUAUAAAAACAAUAAAAGCCAAUGUAUUUUACAUUAUUAAUAACAAGCAUAUUCAUUGAAAGUCGAUUGUCCUCACCUGCCUCUCCUUGGAUCAAACUCCAUUUUCAAUGACAGUUAGUCAUUUUAUAAAGAUUCACUCUUCUUCUUGUGGCCCAAUCCUCUACGUGCCACUGGUUCCAAGCAGCCACUCCAGGUUGCAAUGUUCUAGCUCUGCACGACGAGGAAGGGGAUCACACGAGCACUGUCCAAGGUAGGCAACAAUCACAGCCCCUCCACCCUCUUCUGGGUGAUGCCUGUUGAGGCUAAGAGAACAAUCAAGACCGCCAAUCGUAUUGCUAGAUCUAUAUCCUUGGAGCGAUAUGGUUAUUUACAAUUCGUAUAAGCUCCUAGAUUAUAUGUACACCUGUGACAUUAAAAUUUUACGAUGCAAAAGCUUAUUACUUAUCAUUAGCAAGAUCAUCAUCAAGAGCGUCCUGACCAACUUGGACCUCACCACACACCCCGUCUUCUUCCGGAAACGCAUCCAAAUGAACCGUGGCUCCACUCUUUCGCUGCUGGGGCAGGCUCUUGUAGUUGAAGACUUUCUCUAGAACGUCCUUGAGGCUCGAGCAAAGAAUAAGCUCCAUUCCGUCCACCUUGACUCCUUUAGCACCCUGUGGGACGAUGCAUUUCUUGAAACCCAGCUUGGAUGCCUCAAACAGUCGCCUUUCGAGUUGAGCUACCUGCAUGGACGGAACUUCCAGCAUUGAAAAGUGAGAAACCACGUAAGAACUUACAAAGCGCAGCUCUCCCCCGAGUCCUAGCUCACCAACGAAGACUGUGUCCCGAGGAACCGGCCUUUCUAUAUAGCUGCAAGCAAGACGAAGCUCGUGAGUUGGUAUGCCCAGCUAGUCGAGAGAAAGUACCUGCUGGCAAUAGCGACGGCAACAGCAAUAUCUGUGGCGGGCUCUUCCAAACGAAAGCCUCCAACGACAUUAACAAAAAUAUCCUAGAGCAGUAUUUCAGCAUAAGAACUUUUGCUAUCACAAAGUAUAGAACGCACCUGUCUUGCAAGUCUCAAGCGUGCUUGUUUGAGUAAGACCUGGCAUCACAGCGUCAAGCCUCACAAAAGUGGAGAAUAUUUAUGGAGUGACUUACGGCAACAAUCAGAUUGAAUCGAGAUGGAUCCACUCCAGUGAACGUUCUUUUACUUGGCAGUGAAGUGGCAGGAGAGCAUAAGACCUGCAAAACGCGCGUUCAUGCCGGAGAAAACUUUAGCUUUUGAUCGUUGUCAGAUACGCUUCUCGGUUUUAAAGUCAGAUCAUGGCAAGUCAGAGGUUCUUGGCAGUCCAGCUCACUCGAAACUCGGGAAAUUCCAAAGAAUCUACCACCGGUCUCUCGUUGAACCUGGAAAGCUAGAGCAGCCAGACAACGCUCAGAUUUGGCUAAAAGUAUCAUCAUCCAACGUAAAUCCUAGAAGUCGCUUACCUGGAUUUCAACCAGCAGCGGCCGAGAUCCUUCCAAAGCCACCCCAACGGUGGCUGAUGCAUUAGUGUCCUCCCCAGUUCUAUCAGAAAGAAACUUCAAACUGGGAUUUUCUACCGCUCGUAAACCGUUGUCGACCAUCUCAAACACGCCGACCUGUACUAAAGAUAAAACAGCGAGAUUCAAUUUAAAAGCAAAUGCUGGAAGACAGUCACCUCUUUCGUAGAAGCGAAGCGAUUUUUUAGUGAUCUUAGAAGCCGUUGAGACAAAAGACGGUCUCCCUAGAGACAAGAAAUAUAAACGAACAAAGAUAAAAACCUCUUACCUCCAAGUGAAGAUAAACAUCAACCAUGUGCUCCAAUGUACGUGGCCCCGCUAUUUCUCCAGAUUUCGUUACAUGCCCAAUCUUUAUAUUGCCGAACAUCUAAUGCAAGAAAGAAAGAGAGCUUACCACCAGUGAAGAUAUCGACACCGUAGAGUAGACGAAUUGAAGUCACAGUUUGCUCCAGGAGUAAGAACUGUUAUCCCAGAGGGAAGGUUUACAGUCCAAGGAGGAGUUUUCAGGCUCUGAAAGGAAAGAGAUUAGUGAGACCAAAACUUUUACCAUAUGCUUACAUCCAGGUUGAAAUCAUGCACAAUGGGAAGACCAUUUUGUCGUCUGUAUAAGAUCAAAUGCUUCGCAAAAAUAUCCAUAUCCUCUAUCCAAUUUUCGCUCUCGACUGGGACAACCUCCUAAAGUGUUUCAGUAUUUGCUGUGAAAAAAACGAGAAUUGACUUACCUCCCACGCCUUCGAGGUCAAGCUAUCUGUCUUGCAGCGGACAAGCCGAUAGUUGUUUCCUAGCGACGCUAGCUUCUUGUCGCCCAAAAAAUUGGUAAGAAUAUACAGGUGCUCUUCAUGGUGUUCCACGAAAUACUGGAUGCCAUCAACUCUAUCUGCAACUUUCCGCAAUGUUGUGGCUGAAGUUUUCGGAUAUACCAGAAAAACCUGUCCUGUAGAGGCUCGAGCAACACAUUUGUGAAACCCAAUUACCUCAGAGGACGUCUUCGAGUUGACAUUAAUCAAAACGUACUGCCAGUUUUUGGUUCUUGUAACAUCAACAAAGUUCUUUGGAUUGUCGUCGUGAUAAAUUGCAAUGUCAUCAUCUUUAGAUCGCAAGUUCCACAACAAAACCCUGUCGAGAUCGAGAAAAAAUGAUUCUAGAAGAAACUUCAACUAGAAACCUGUGAGGUCGAUGUGCCACAUCACUACAAGUGUAGUAAAGAUAUUCUCCAGUAUCAGACCACUCCACGCUUACUACACCAUCGGUUUUGUGCUCCAGGAGGAGGCUAUCAGUUUCCAAGUCUUUGAUAAACAAUGUGAACAUCUCGUUGCCACCCAAGUCGAUCGUGUAUGCUAACAGUUUGUAGUCUCUGGAUAGUUUAAAAACUCCAAGCUGCGCAUGGCCUACACUUGUGUAAUUAGGAAGAAGAGAGAAACAAGGAAAGAUCCUCAAAACUUUACCGUGCUCGGCAGCAAGCUCAUUGAUGUCGAUCAUAACUUCACUGUUCUUGUCAAAAAAACUUGUAAAGAAAGCCUUCAGCCUUCCACCUUGGCGGGCUCUUCGUCUCGAGUAGAUGGGAAACUGUUUCCCUUGCGGGAUAUGCACGAAAUAGUACCUACAUUGUUUCUAAGUUCCUCAGCUAGGCAAAAAAAAAUCAAAACGACCAAGGAAGAACUCACCAAUCCCCCCAGCGCUCUGGAGGCGAUGCGAGCUCCUUCUCCAUCCUGCUCGCCAUUUCCUGGCGGAUCUGGCGCUGGAGCUCCCUUGUCCCAGCCAUGGUCGACUGCGCAGCCAGUGGUAGGGAUCGUCCCAUGUCACGCCGUGGCGCGUCUUGGGGAACGAUCUCCUCGGCGCCGCAGGAGCGAAUUGCCGCAAUGCGCGAUCUGGAAGAGAAGAGAGUGCGCGAGAGAAGCGGCAAAGCGCCAUAAAACCCUAGACCCUGCUUGGCAAGCAUAUUCCUGGAACCUUUCAAGCUCGCAAAAUGGCGGGAUGUUUAGAACCAUAGUAGGGUUUUGGAAUUUCUCCACGGUUCUCGCCUAAGGCGCAGUGGCUCUCUUCUUGCCUGUGCGAGCAGAUCGGAGCGUCUCAGUUACCGGUAGACUCUCGCGCCGAGAAAUGCUUCGCGCAGCUCCUCCGACGCUCCAGAGGUCCAGGCGAUGCACUUAUGUUCUACAAGUAAGUGGAAGGUUUCUAUAGCUUUUCAUCGAUGGAAGCAUAGCACACAGGUAGAUGAAGCGGUGGACAUUUUCAAGGAUCACUACCAGGAAGGAAUUGGAAGUCGAAGCUUGAAGCUAUCCAUGACCGAUGAUGCUCAACGAGUUUUUGGCAUUGAGUAUCGUCCUACCCCACAGCUCAAAGUAUUACAAGUCUUUGCCUUGAAUUUUCUUUUCUUCCAAUGCGAAAGGAAUGUCGGGGGAUGUUUCUUCUCGUCCCGGAAAUUGUUACUGUUCUUGGAGGACCUUGAAGAGGCUCGACAGAGCGUGGUACAUAAAGUACACAAACCUCCUCGGGGAAACAGGUAAAGUUUUCUUCUUCAAGUACUAGUUAAGGAUAUUUGCAGGCACCCGCGUGGUACUACUUGGAAGAGCAGCUUACACAAGCUGCCUGGCCCCGAACUCCAAGAAAACAAUGGCGCUGCAGCCAAUCCUGGAAUGAGCAGCAACCUUCUUCGACUGUUCGUGAUCAUCCAUAUACAGGUCUAACUUUGCGCAGUGACUGCGUUUGCUUAUUUUGAUUUUCUGGCUCAAGGCAAGCACCUGUUUCUAUAGAAGAUUUUUCUCGCGGUUCGGAUUCCUACAGUGAACAAACACCAAGUAAACACAAAGAAGGCCUUUCAAGUUUUCUCUCCAUGCAUAAUUCUUGUUAUCUUCACUUCAGAACAGCAUCGGACCUGUCGGCCUGGGAACUUCGCGUAUUCGUAUGCUUUUCCUCCAAUCCAAUCAGGAAACCAGGAGUAGAAGAAAACUUCGCAGUAAGUUUUAUGAUCUUCACGUCCAUUUUUCAGCCGCAGACAGCCUGGAGUCCCCUCCCUUUACGUCUGGCAGUUCUACAGAGGCGGUUUUUGGAGUCCGGUGUAGUUCAAUCAGGCCGAGUUAAGGUAAUAAAAGAAAAGAAAAGAAAUUGUUUUCUGAGCAAGGAUGCAUACCAGCUCGAAGAUGAAAGCCUUUUAAUGGAAGCUCUAGUGAACCACGAGCAAUUCUGUUUAAUCAAGAAUGGUCGCCGAUUAUGCAGCUGGUUGAGAGGAUGAUCGGACACUCCCCGUUGGAUGUAAGUGCUGCUAUAGAACGUCAAGCUUUUCUCAAGAGAUACCAGGUGUUUUCUACAAAGGCACACAUGAGAUAUUCUCUUCUUAAGCGUGUGGUGAUCUUUUAUGUUCUCCAGCAUAGGGUUGUGGCCGUGAACGACUAUCCGGAAAUGGAUGGAGGCUUCUUGCGCGAGUUGAAGCUCUUCCAAUUUGCCGCCAGGAUCAUCAGCGAUCCCUUCCACUAUAUUGAAUUUGACUGUUCCCAUCAAGAGAAUAGAAAAGAAACUUCAUAACUUGCAAAGACAGUACUUGCAUUGCUAUAGAAAAUCUUUCUCGACAGGAAGAUCAUUGUCUCACAAAAAAAAUUCCACCCGGUGACCAAGCAAGCAAAGUUAGUACCUGUACUCUUCAAUCAAAAACGAUGCUUACCGAACUGGUGCUGGCUUUUGUUCUUAAGCUGCACGAGCUUUUUUCACGAUCAAGUCGCUGCCGCUGGGAAGACUCCUCUUCAUUCCACAGCGCCUGCUGCGUGUCGUCGUCUCGAUCUUGCUACUGCUGCUGCAAUGCUUCACGAUCCAGGGAUGUGCAAGCACACGGUCCAGCGUUACCCUCUUGCUCGGUUCGACAGCUAACAUCCCCCGGAGAAGAUCCUCCGCCCGGUCCGAGCCAAAACCAGUUGGAAAUGCUCCCGCUCUCAAGAAAUCGAUUUCCAUUCUCGAUUUGUGACCUUUCAACAGCUCGUACGCAAUGACUCCCAAACCCCACACAUCAAUGGCUGCCGUGUAGAAGUUCUGUGAUUCUCCCUUGCGGCCCUUCCUCGCCAUCACCUCUGGUGCCAUAUACUUUUCCGUGCCACAGUACUUUGACAUCUCCCUGUGCAGGUCUGUGGCUAUCCCGAAGUCUCCAAUCAGAACAUCGUGCACACCAGUGGCAUUGAGCUUGACAAGAAUGUUCUCCGGCUUGAGAUCCCGGUGGAUAAUUCCCCUGGAGUGGAUCUCCUUGAGCGUUUCAGCCAGCUUCUUGAUGGUCUUCGCUGCAUCCUCCUCCCUCAUCGGCCCACAGUUGAUCAAUCCCUCGCAUAGGUUUGGGCCGCACAGCUCCAUAACGAUGGUGCCAUAGCACUUGGCACCAUCUCUCUCCCGGACAAAGCCCAUGAAGGAGACGACCCCAGGGCAGGCGUGAAGCUUGGACAUAAGCCGAGCUUCUCUCUCGGCAUCACUCCCCGAUCGAAACAACUUUCCAGCAUAUGUGUUGCGGCCAUUAUGGAUCAUGAAAACCUGCCCUUGCCCUCCACAUCCCAGCCGCUUGCCCCUCAUGUAAAACUUGAGAAGCUCACUACAGUCAUCCUCGCUCAACUCACCGGUGUCACGCGCCAUCGCUCCCAGACCUUCUUGCUGAAUGGAAGACCUAGCUUCUUCAAAACGGGUUUAUAUCGACGGCUGGGAUGAUCUUUGAUGGACGGUGGCGAUUUCAUGGGACAACCUGAGAACCUAGGCCAAGUAGUGACGCUAGUGUCUUCUCGCCCAAAACAUUGGACUCUAUCUGUUUGGAGAUAAGCCAUCCGGAUGAGGUGGGAGGAUACUACCACUACACCAGCUGCGCUUCACCAUGGAAAAACCUUAGUUACACGAGGCAGUGACAAAAAUUUCUCUAAGUUCUGCUAUAAACUAAGUCGUCACAAAACGUUUGGUCUUAUGAGCUCGAUGCUUUCAAAGACGAGUUAUAUGUUCCUGGAUUGCUGUGUUGAAUCAUGUGUUGGAUUAUUAAACUUGUUGCCACAGGCCGUUGGCGGUGGCCUGUGGUGAGCUCUGCCCUGAUUUUUGUUCUAGUCGCUUUGUUUCCUUUCCUGGUCUCAGAGUGCCGAAUUUUGUGAAUCUCAUUCAUCGCAAUGCAGGUCCUUUCGAUCGAUCAUCCUCAUGAUAGCUACGACGAGAGAACGAAGGAUAGAUCCUCAAAACUUUAUCGUGCUUCGCAGCAAGCGCAUUGAUGUCGAUCAUCACUUCACUCUGCCUCUUGUCGAGAAAAUUUUGUCAAGAAAGCCUUCAGCCUUCCACCUUUGCGGGCUCUUCGUCUCGAGUAGAUGGGAAACUCUUUCCCUUGUGGGAUCUGCACGAAAUAGUUCCUACAUUGUCAUUAAGCUUUUCGUCUAAGCCAAAAACUAAAAAGUUCAAACGGGAAGAACUCACCAAUGCCCCCAGCGCUCUGGCAGCGACGUGAGCUCCUUCUCCAUCCUACUCGCCAUUUCCUGGCGGAUCUGGCGCUGCAGCUCCCUUGUCCCAGCCAUGGUCGAUUGCGCGUGCUGAUUCGUCCGAAUUUCGCAGCCAGUGGCAGGGAUCGUCCCAUGUCACGCCGUGGCGCGUCUUGGGGAACAAUAUCCUCGGCACGGCAGGAUCGAAUUGCCGCAAUGCGCGAUCUGGAAGAGAAGAGAGUGCGCGCGGCAAAACACCAUAAAGCCCUUGCUUGGCAAGCAUAUUCCUGGAACCUUUCAAGCUAGCAAAAUGGCGGGAUGCUUAGAACCCUAGUAGGGUUUUGGGAUUUCGAUGGAGGAGCGGGUUGUGGAGAUUAUGGCUUCUCGCGGAAUGCGGCCUAAGGCGCAGUGGCUUUCUUCUUGCCUGCGCGAGCAGAUCGGAGCGUCACAGUUGCCGGUAGACUUGUGCGCCGAGAAAUGCUUUGCGCAGCUCCUCGCUGCCGAUUUCAAUCUCGUCACCGAUGCUGUGCUUCCUCCAGGGGUCCAGGCGAUGCACAAAGUGGAGCUAGCGGGCCCUUUCGUUCUACAAGUAAGUGAAAGUUUUUCUAUAUUUUUUUUUAUCGACGGGAGCAUGGCACACAGGUAGAUGAAACGGUGGACAUUUGCUGCGGCCUCAAGGAUCGCUACCAGGAAAGAAAUGCUGGAAUUGGAAGUCGAUGCUUGAAGCUAUCCAUGACCGACGGUGCUCAACGAGUUUUUGGCAUUGAGUAUCGUCCUAUCCCACAGCUCAAAGUCUUACAACCAGCUGGUUUGAAGGUACACGUUCAAGAAAUCCUUUAAAGUCUUUUCCAUGAUUUUUCUUUCUCCCAACCGCAGAUUUGCGUAAGGAAUGUCUGCGUCCGGAGAGGGAUGUUUCUUCUUGUCCCGGAAAUUGUUACUGUUCUAGGAGGUGUUGUCCAAGAGCUUGAAGAGGCUCGACAGAGAGUGGCACAUCAAGUAAACAAACCUCCUCGGGGAAACAGGUAAAGUUUUCUUCUUCGUGUACUAGUUAAGGAUAUUUACAGGCACCCGCGUGGUACUACGCCACCAUCGUUGGAAGAGCAACUUACACAAGCUGCCUGGCCCCGAACUCCUGACGUCCAAGAAAACAAUGGUGCUGCAGCCAAUCCUGGAAGUGAGCAGCAACCUUCUUCGACUGUUCGUGAUCAUCCAUAUACAGGUCUAACUUUUGCACAGUGACUGUGUUUGCCUUCUUUCUUUCAUUCUUCUAUCCUUGUAUUUUGAUUUUCUGUCUCUACUUUUUUGUCUUCAGGAAGGCAAGCACCUGUUUCUAUAGAAGAUUUUUCUCGCGGUUCAUAUUCCUACAGUGAACAAACACCAAGUAAACACAAAGAAGGCCUUUCAGGUUUUCUCUCCAUGCCUAAUUCUUUUGAUGUUCACCUCCAGGACAGGACGAAACUACGCAUCGGACCUCGUCUGGUACACCUUCCGAGACUUCUAUCGGCCUGGGAACUUCGCGUAUUCGUAUGCUUUCCCUCCAAUCCAAUGAAACCAGGAGUAGAAGACAACUGCGGAGUAAGUUUUAUGAUCUUCAGAUUUUCGUGACAUAUGCCCGUCCAUUUUUCAGCCGCAGACAGCCUGGAGUUCCCUCCCUUUACGUAUCUGGCGGUUCUACAGAGGCGGUUUAUGGAGUCCGGUGUAGUUCAAUCAGGCCGAGUUAAGGUAACAAAAGAAAAGAAAAAAGAAAGUACGAUUCGUUUUCUGGAUACAGUGUUUCCUUACAGCCAUGAAAGAGUUCCUUUUCAAGGAUCGCAAUGCAUACCGGCUGGCGAUAUACAUCGAAGAUGAAAGCCUUUUAACAGAAGCUCUAGUGAACCACGAGGUAAAGCUUCAAUUCUGUUUAGUCAAGACUACAGUCUCCGAUUUUGCAGCUGGUUGAGAGGAUGAUCGGACACUCCCCUUUGGAAGUAAGUGCCGCUAUAGCGAGCAACGAACACGCGCGAAUGAAAUCAAAGAUGAGAGAACUUCAAGCUUUUCUCAAGAGAUACCAGGUAUUAUUAUUUUUCUUCUUGUACUUUUGACUGGUUAUUUUCUUCAGGGAUACAUGGACAUAGAAUUCGGGGACAUCGUGAGGGUUGUGGCCGUGAACGAAUGCCUACAUGCAUCUGGAGAUGGAUGGACCCUUCUCGCCCGAGUUGAGGCCCAAAGCUCGAGUAGUAUGGAGAUGGACUUGUUUAAUAUUAAUUAGAAUAUAUUUAUUGUUAAAUCACUCUAAUAAAAUAGUAUUAAUGUACUUAAAUCUAAAUUAUUAAAUUAAUGUGGCAUUCAAUAAAGUACAAUUAAAAGUUUUACACAGUUGAAUUUUAUAGAUAUUUUUGUCAUUAAAAUUAAUUAAGUGUUCAAAAGUUGGAUCCUAAUUGUUUUGAAACCAGGAAUAACCUUUAAAAAAUAUUAUUUAUUACGUUUGCUAUCACAAAGUAAAUCAUUAUAAUCCAUAAAAAUUACUUUAAAUAAAAAUGUAAAUGAAUUAAAUUUGAUACUGGAUUGUGUACAAGUGGGACAAUAAUGACACUACAACUCCCAUUAUCAUCCACUUGUAGAAUAAAAAAUAGAUAACUUGAUGUUAGUUUAUUUUUUUUAAUCUUAUAGUAUAUAAUUUAUUUAAGGGGCUCCUUGCUCAAUAGAAGGGAUUGUAUUGGGUGUUCUGUCAAGUUAAAUUGUAAGUUUAUGAGGUUUGGAAUGAUGUUUAAUAGACUAAUCUUCCAAAAAUUAUGCAUAUGUAAUAGUUAUAACACUUCAUACAAAAGGAGUAGGAACAACUAGCACUACUUAUAGAUUUAUUGAUGUUGGGACAAAGUAUACUAUAUAUUAUAUACUAAUAUUAGUAUAGUGGAAUUUUGAUAGCUGUUGGAUUGGUUUUAAUCUAGGCCACUCACUCUUGUAUAUAAAUUAAGGUGUUUAUGUUAAUUAAUAUGCAUAUUUUUGUAUUCCAUUUUCAUAUUCUAUACACUCAUACUAGAAAUUAAAUAAAAUAUUAUUUUUAAUUAAUUUUAUUGUUAUAAUUAUUCCUCCAUAUUAAUUUUUAUAAAUGUUAAUACUAAUUUUCUGGUAUCUUAUAAAAUUAUAAGUGUUAUACAAUUUAAUAAAAUUUAUUAUUAUUAUUAUUAUUAUUAUUAUUAUUAUUAUUAUAAGUAAAUGACUGUAUAAUUUUAUGAAAGCCUAAAAACCCUAAUAUUCUAUGAAUAAUUUGGUAUUACUAUAUUAACUAACAAGAACAACUCAUAAUAUAUUGUUAGAAUUAUUCAAUUGGAUUCCCAUUAUCAACAUCUUAGUAGCACAUUUUACAAAAUUAAACUAUAAUUUCAAAUAUUUAGAUAGGUUUUUAAAUAAUGAUAAAAGUCAUCAAACAACACAUGUCAACUUUUUAAAGCACUUAUUAAGUAUACAUAACAUUAUUAAAAUUAAUUUUUCAAGAACAUUUUUCCAGGGUAGUUAACCAUUAGCAAAAACUGUAUUUCUUUACAAAAAUUCUAACUUAGUUAUAAACUAAAACAAAUGCUUAAUGACAAUAUUUCAUGUUGAAAUCCAUUUCAAUCACCCCUCCAUUUGAUAAUAGCCUCCAGAUCAGAUAAUAUUGGUUAAAAGAGUCAAACUUUCAUGCUUUGCUUAAAAGAACCCUAAUUGUAGACCAUGAUGAAGGGCGGCCUGCCAUUAAACACCAUCCUCAUUCACUCUCUCUCCACUUACCUGGCGGUGAUAUGGCAUUAGGCCUUCUUUUUGUUUUUUUCUCCAACGCAGUCCUUCUCCCAUCUGUCGCUGCUAUGCACUCCCACCUGCAGCUAUUGCCUGCCUGCAGCUCCCACCUGCCCACUCACCCUCACAGCUCUUGCCUGCACUCUCGCCCACCCCCACACGCCCAAUGUGUGCCCUAAUUACUUCCACGUGGCCACAACCCCAACACUUAGCCAAAUUUCAAUUAGCACGCCCUAUUCCACCCAUAAUUGACCUAAAAAUGUUUCUGUUUCUUUUAUGAUCAAGCAUGGCGGCAGCACAUCAAUUUCUAGAGGUAAGCAAUCAAUUCAACUUCAUAUUGAUUCAAGAAAAUCAUUGAGGAUCCCCAUGGCUUGAUGAGGUGCAAGAAUUCUAUGAAAAGGAUUGUUUUUGUGUAGAUGAUUUAGAUUGGAAUUUGUCUAAAUUAAAUGAAACUAUAGCUCUUAUUUGUGAGACAUAAAUCCCUAAGCCCCAAAGUGAAGUUAAAAGGGUGCCAUGGGGUAAUGGCCAAAGUGGAAGCCUAACACAUGUAACACAUUUGGACUAAAAGCUCCAACUUGGAUAAUUGAGAGUGGGAGUGGAACUCCCAACAAAGAGCUCAAGGAACGAGCACAAAGCAAGCAAUAAAUAAGUCUCUAGAAAAGGGACACAAAAGGACUAAACAUAUAAUACGUGGAAGUGUCGAGAUGGACCCGAGAUGGAGUCUGAGAUGGAGUCCGAGAUGAAGUCUAAAAUGGAGUCCGAGAUAGGAUCUGAGAAGGACCCAAGAUGGAGUCUGAGAUGGAGCCAAGAUGGAGUCCGAUAUGGAGUCCAAGAUGAAUCUGAGAUGGAGUCCAAGAUGGAGUUCAAGGUCAAGGCUAAGACUGAGGCCGAUACUGAGACCGAGACUGAAACUGAGACUGAGAUUGAGUCUGAGUCUAAGUCCGAGACCGAGUCUAAAUCCGAAUCUGAGUCUAAAUCCGAAUCUGAGUCUAAAUCCGAAUCUGAGUCUAAGUCCGAGUCCAAGGGUGAAAGCCUAAAGCAUUCGUCUCCCAAACCCUAGGGGGUUUGGUGAGCUCUAAAAAUAUAGUAGAGGGAGGACUCUAGUAGAGCUAAUUUAGCCAAGAAAGGCUAGUGUGACCAAGAAAGGCUAUACCCAUAUAUAGGGUGAUGAUAAAACCAUUGAGGAGUUCAAAACUAGAGUGAAUAUAAAUAGACAAUUUAGCUUCGUGAAGUGUUUAAGAGGUAACUCUAGCUCCCCUGGGAGAUUGAAUGGUCGAUAUUCCCAAUUCAAGUGUGGGUGGCAUUACUUGCUUGGAUAUUUAGCAUGGCUCAUCAAAACUUCACUCUAGACACAUGGCUAGGGCAUCUAAAGGUGGAAGGUGGGGAGUGUACCCACAGGGUUCGCAUAAGGCCAUGGUGUUUUGAAAUAUCGUCUCAAAGUCCUAGACUGUGGAAAAGAAGAGGAGUAACCCUCUAGUGUAGUGACCAAAAAUAUGCUCCUAUGGUGAGGAAGUCCUAGAGGAUAGUGGGAUUUAGUGGUUGGGCCUGAUUCACUCUCUCUCCACUUACCUGGCAAUGACAUGGCAUUAGGCCUUCUUUUUGUUUUUUCUCUAGCGCACUCCCUCUCCCAUUCGUCGCCGCUAUGCACUCCUGCCCACGGUUCUUGGCAUCCACAUGCCCUCAUGGCUCCCGUCUGCACUCCCACCCACCCCCGCACAUCUGCCCAUGCCCAGUGUGUGCCCUAAUUACUUCCUUAUGGCCAUAGCCCUAACACUUGGCCAAAUUUGAAUCAGCAUGCACGUGGACACCUUUUUGCAUGCUUUAUGUGGCCAAUGAAUGUCAUGGAUGACCAUUAGGAGUGGUGAUCCUAUGAAAUCUUCUAACUAAUUUAAAUAUAUGCAAUGUAAGUACAUAAAGAGUUUGUUUUUAUAUUUAUUCUUUACUAAGAUUGAUUUUUUCAUUUAAAGAACUUUUCUUUCUUAUCUUCCUCUGCCUAGUAAAAGGAAUUGCUUUUGGACUACUAAAAGCUUUUUUUUAUCUGUAAUUCUUUCCACCAAAGGUUUUGCCCGCUUCAUAACUAUUAACAUGCUAUUAAAAUUCUACUGCAAAAUGAAUAAAAUUGCAUGGCCUAGUUUUAAAGGUUGCACCUUUCUAUUGUAUCAUUUCUAAAUUGUUGUCAACCAUAGAUAAAAAAGCUUCUUCAUUAGGAAGAUUUUGUAAAAUAUCAAUCAUCUUUUGCUGCAAUAUCACUUUUAUAACUUUUGAUAGAGUGAUAUCUUCCUGCUCAAAGUUCAUAUCAAUAUUUAAAAUUUGUUUAGUGUAAAUUACUUGUAUAGUACUCCUUAGCUAAAUUUUUUGUUGAUGAUACACAUUUUGAUGGAUAUUUUUUUGCUCAAUAUUCAUAUAUAUUAGUAUAUAAAAUAUGCUAGUUUACCUCUAUGUAGUCUCCAACUAAAUUUUUUUGCUCAUGAUAAAAAUUUUGAUGGAUAUUUUUCUGCUCAAAUUUUUAUAAGUAUUUCAAAAUUUUAAUUAAUAAGUGAAUUAUCUCUGUCAUAGCUUCCAAGUCAAGUGCUUCAAAAUUUUGAUAAUGAUAAAAUAAGUCAUCUGACCUAGGUUCUAAAAUUACAUGUGAUUGUGAUGGUUGAAACUCAUAACUAGUUGCAAUUCAGAUGGUUUUCUCUCCUUGUUUUAAUAUAAUAGUUUUUGCUUGAUGCUUGUAAAAGUUUUUUUUGGUUGCCCAUGGACAAUUACACCAAGUCAAAAAAUCCCAAUCACUGUGUCCUUCACUUCCAACAACAAAAUGCCAUAUAACUAGAUCUAAAAAGGAUUGUACAUAAGAUUUGUGAGUAUUGUUAUUAUCGAAUUUUAUUUGAGAGUUGUUAAUAUUUUUUGCUUUAACAAUCGCACCAUUGAUUAACUUUUCAUAUGAAUGGUUUCAAAUAAAACCAUGAUCUUUGUAAUAACUAGUAAACCAGUACUUUGCAUGAACCUUAGUAGUAAGUUGAUAAAUUGCCCAAUCAAUCCUUCGAUUACGGGCAUGUUUUUUCUCAAACGAGUGUAUAGCUUUCAUAUUUGCAUGGAAUGCCUUAAUCAAAAUAUUUAUCUCCUUGUUAGCAUGAGGGAAAUUUCGAGCAGCAACAACCCACAUAUCUAUUAAAUAUAAAUAGAAAUAUAUUAUAAAAAUCAAAAUAUUGAUUCACUAACCAACUUUGUCCUUCCAUUCAUCUUGAAAAUACUUGAUAAAGGCUACUUCAUUUUGAAAAUCCACCUCAAAAUGUUCAAUAAGUUGUUUAAUCUCAGUUCACAUAAUAUUAUCAUCAUCAAAAGCUACAUAAAUUAAAUGAUACAUAAUAUCUUCAAGACGUUUCCAUAUUUCCUUCCUAAUAUCCUAAAUUUCACUUUAUGAAUAAUAUAUCUGAGCCAAUUCCUUGUUACAUACCAAAUAUAUAAUAAAAUUUGACAAUCAAAUGUAGCUCUAUAUAAAAGAAAAAAAAUUAUAUCAUUUUAAAUUAAUUACCUUAUACCAUUAAUCUAUACUUCAGCAUUAUUAAUCAUUAUCACAUAUGGUUUCCAUUCUGGUAUGUGUUCUAAAAUUCAUUUUUUAAGAGAUAUCAUCCAAUUCUUCAUAUGUUCUUCUUUUUCAUUAGAAGUUAAAACUCAGGCCCCAAUAUGCAAUUGGAAUACUAUUUCCAUGAUAAUCAAAAGCAAGGUGUAUAAUGGGAACUAUAAAUUAUUAAAUAUUAUUCACUUAAAAAUAAAUGAAAAUUUUACCUUGUAGCAAUUAGUUCCAAAAGUUGCAUCAAGACUCAAUAAAUUAUUAUUUGCAAAGUCCACCAUCUUUUGUAGUUGCCAAGUUAUCUGAAUCCCAAUAGUUAAACAAUCUUUAUCUCGAUCACCUUCCUAAUAGAAAAAUACUUUCUUAGGAUUUGUGUUUUUCCAAAUAUGUACACUCUAUGCAUCAUUCUCAUGUAGUUGAUAAGUUGAAAGCAAAUACUUCUUAUGUAAAUUAUUGAUAUCUUGUAUACGUGGAAAAUCAUCUCGAGAAGCUGAUUUAUUUCUUCCCACAAUUUGUAUAUGCUCAUUACAAAUUUGAUUUGAUGUGAAAUCUUGCUAGAUCAUAUGAAUCAUACAAUAUCGAAUAUCUACUGAAAGCUUCUAAGAAAAUAAUGACUUUCCUCCAGUUGGAUCAAGUUGACCAUGACAAGGAAUCCCAUUCUUAUCACAAUGCUCUCUAUGAUAAUAUGUAAUCUACACAUAAUCAAGCUAUUUGUAAAACUAUUUGACCAAAAAAUUGUAAAGACAACCCCGUGUAAGCUUGUGAGUUUAAACUUCCCGGAAAGCCACCCAGCUCAAUACUAUUCAAACCCAAAGAUGUCAAGAAACCCCCAAUUCUUGCCACAUUCCUGACUCUCACCGGAUUCCUGACUCGCAGACCAUAUUCUUGACUCUUGAGACAGUUCCCUAUUCCUGACUCUCGAGACACUUCCCUAUUCUUGAUUUUCUGAUUUCCCAUACGAUUCUAGAGUCUUGAACCACAUUCUUGAUGAUGAUGUGGCACCUCCUUGACCUCAGCUAUAUUUAGGCCGUUCUCGAUCCAAGAGUGGUGAAGCUUCCUUAAUCUAUAGUAUAUAUAGGUUAACCUUGUUCCAUUUUUUCACAAUUUGAAUCAACGCCAGUCUAAGGCCUUUUCUUUGUUUCCACUAGCUUUUCUCUUUGUCUUUUGCAUUUUCUAGUUUUGAUCUUGUUGGGGGUCUUGAUAGUUUGAUUCAGAUUGUGUUUUUUGCUUUUGCUUUAGCUCGUUUUGAUUGUUUGACUGCCUUUGCCUUUUUUCCCCCUUUUCUUUCUUUUUUUCCGAUGGAGUCUCCAAGCCAUCCUGAUUUCUUUGCCGAAGUCCUUGCAAAAAUCCAGUCUGAGAAUACCGAGAUGAAGGUGACUCUUCUUCACAUGCAAUAGGAGCUUGCUUCACUUUUGGCUCAAGGAUCAAGCGAGUUCCUGAACCAAAGGUGAGUCCCCGGCGAAGUUCUCAGGCAAGCGUUCAGAGCUUCGCGGAUUCCUGGACCAGAUGGAGCUGAUCUUCGCACUUCAACAUUGGCGGUACCCCACUCCCGAGUCUCAAAUCGGCGCGAUUGGGACGUUGCUCGAAGGUGUAGCUUUGUCAUGGAUUUCUCCUCUCAUGGAGAAGAGCAUGAAAGGGGUCGUGGUUCUGGAGCUGAUGGAUCUUCAAUUGUUCAAAGAGAAGCUCGAAGCAUGUUUUGGCGAGACGGAUCGGGUUCGGGCUGCCACCACAAAGAUGAGACGUCUCUCUCAAGGGUCUCGUUCUGCCUUGAUCUAUGCUGUAGAGUUCCAACUCCUUGCCUUGGACACUCAGUGGGAUGAGCGGGCCCUGAUUGAUCAAUUUCAUUUUGGCCUCAACAACAGUGUCAAGGAUUUGUUGCUCACCAUGGAGGAUCCCACGGACCUGUCGGAUGCCAUCGACAAAGUUUUUUGAUGUGACAAUCAUCUCUUUGAACGUCGUCAAGAAAGUUGCCACGCCACCGUUUUCUUGUCCCAGACUCAGGAAUCCCAGCUUGAGUCUUCGGGGCAUAUUCCUGAACCUAUUACUCCGGUCCUAAUGGAUAUCUCUGGUACUCCCCGACUCAUUAGAGGGAAGUUGAGUCCUAUUGAGAAGCAACAUUGAGUAUCUCAUAAUCUUUGCCUCUACUGUGUUGAUCCUAAUCACAAAGCAGCUGUGUGUCCCAAGAAGCCUCCUCGACUGCUCGAAUUCACUCUGCCUCAAGGUCCACCUCUAUUGCAGUCGGGAAACGACCCUGUCCAAAUAGAGUAGGAGCUAUCUGUUUGGACUCCCCGAAUAAAAAUCACUUUUCUUCUUUAUCAAGCUCCUCACCACCUUUCAUCAAAGCCACCACCAAUUUCCACAACUUCCACAUCCCAUGUCUCCUUUCUUUUACUGGACAAUCAGGACUCAAGGCUUUGGCCCUACUGGACUCGGGUGCAACUUCCUGCUUCAUGGACACGGAUUUUGCUACCCGACAUCAUGUUCCUCUUUCUCCUACUAUAUGGGAUCUGAGGGUUGAAGGCAUUGGUGGGCAUUUUGUGUCUCCAUUUUCUAGACUUAGGGAAAUGUUGCCCGUUCGAGUACACAUCGGGUCUACCGUCACUGAUAUCACCUUCAGCAUUAUCAACAGCAAGUCCUCCUCUAUAGUGCUUGGCCUUCCUUGGUUCCAACUGCACCAGCCCUAGAUCUGUUGGAAAGAAUUACAACUUAUCUCUCCCACGUCACCAUCUCCCACGUCUUCCUCUGCUAUUCAUCGAGUCCGAAUCAGGAAAAGUUCCCUAAACUCAAAUCAGGGUUUUGUUCUUGACUCUACAAAAUUUUCACCCUUUUCUUUCCCCUCUCUUCCAUAUUACACUAGACAGUAUCCUCAUCUCAUCAUUCCAUUCAGUUGUACGCCUCCUCCUAUCUCCACAAUCACAAUGAAAGAACUCCUUCAUGAAGAACUUGUUUUCCUUUUUGCUUUACAUGUUUCUCUUGUCAGUCUUCCUAAGAAGUAUCAUGAUUUUGAGGAUGUGUUUGACAAGAAAAAAGCUAGUGUACUGCCUGUUCAUUGGCCUUAUGACUGUUCUAUUGAUUUACAGGAAGGAGCGUCACCUCCGUGGGGGCCUAUCUACGGAUUAUCCCCGUCCAAGCUUAAGGUCCUCAAAGAGCAUGUGGACGAGAACUUUGCCUCGGGGUACAUUCAGCAUUCGCAGUCCUUGGUUGGAGCACCUGUCUUCUUUGUCAAGAAGAAGGAUGGGAGUUUGCGGCUAGUCAUCGACUAUCAAGGUUUGAACAAGGUGACUUUUCAGAACCGUUAUCCGUUGCCCUUGAUCUUGGACCUAUUGGAACACCUUGGCGGUGCCCACUUCUUCACCAAGAUCGACCUCUGUGGAGCAUACAACCUGAUCCAGAUCCGGCCUGGCGAUGAAUGGAAGACUGCGUUCCAAACCCGCUAUGGCCACUUCGAGUACACUGUCAUGCCGUUUGGCUUGACAAAUGCUCCAGCAGUUUUCCAACACAUGGCAAACGACGUGUUUUGGGAGUUUCUUGAUCAAAUGGUGAUCGUCUACCUCGAUGACAUCUUCAUCUACUCAAAAACUCAGGAGGAGCACGAUGAGCAUGUGCGCAAGGUGCUAGUGAAGUUGCAGGAACACGACCUAUACGCGAAGCUUGAGAAAUGUUCCUUCGAUUAGGAGUCUAUGGAGUUCCUUGGGUACAUUGUCACUCCUGAGGGUAUCACGAUGGAUCCUGCCAAAGUCAAGACUAUUCUCAAAUGGGAGCCUCCACAAUCAAUGUCGGACAUUCAAGUUUUCCUUGGCUUCGCCAACUUCUACCACAAAUUCAUUGCUCACUACUCUAACAUUGUCCUUCCUGUCACGCAUCUCACUCACAAGGAUGUUCCCUUCUCUUGGUUUGCUGCUACCCAACAGGCCUUCAACACACUCAAGGUGGCCUUCAGUUCUACUCUUGUUUUGAUCCACACUAAUCCCUCACAACCUUUCUUCAUCAAGGUGGACACCUCCGACUUUGCCAUCGGUGCUGUGCUGUUUCAAUUCGGAGCGGAUCAAGAAUUUCAUCCAGUCGCUUUCCAUUCUCAAAAAUUCCAGCCUGCGGAGAUCAAUUAUGAAAUCCACGACAAGGAGCUCCUUGCCAUCGUGGAUUCCUUUGGAGAGUGGUGUCAUUUCUUAGAGGGGGCAAGCCACCAAACAAUGGUCUCGAUGGAUCACAAAAAUCUUGAGUACUUUGCCACUUUCCAAGUUUUGAGCUAUCGUUAGGCAAAGUGAGCACAAUUCCUGAGUCGGUUUAACUUUGUUAUCAAGUAUAGACCUAGAAAGCUUCAGGGCUUUUUUGAUACUCUUUCAAGGCGCUCCUAUCUCAGUCUCAAGCCUGGUAAUCUUGCCUUCGAUCAACAGGAUCAGGUUAUCCUCGGUCCUGAUCAGCUUCAUGUUAUGGCAAUUUCCCUGGCCCCUCAAGACUCCUCCUUGAUGGAUGCGAUUAGAAAUAAUCUUCAAUCUGACAACCUCGUCAGCGACAUUUUCCCCCAUCUUUAGGCUGGACACCCAGUGACUCCUGACUGCUAGCAAUUUGAUGAGUUCAAGGUUUUAGAUGGCUUGUUGUACCAUGGGGAGCAGCUUUAUGUUCCUGAAGGUGAUGCUCGAAGGUUGGUCUUAAUAGCGUGUCACGAUAGCCCAACUGCUGGUCACUUCAGCAUUGUGAAAACCUAUGAGCUGGUUGCACGGGACUUCUGGUGGCCCCACAUAGAGGACUACAUCAAAGUUUUUGUUACCUUCUGUGACACUUGCGCCCGAAAUAAGGUACCUCACCACCUUCCUUCAGGUUUGCUUCAUUCCCUCCCAGUCCCUUCAGGUCCUUGGGAAUCCAUCUUCAGGAUUUCUUGAGUGAUCUUCUGAGUUCUUGAGGCUUCAAUAGCAUUUGAGUUGUGGUGAAUCGCUUAACAAAGAUGGCACACUUUCUGUCGUGUACCAAGGAGUUUUCGGGCGAGGACAUGGCAAAAUUGUUAUUUAAGGUAAUUUUGCGACUUCAUGGGAUUCCUAUAGAUGUGGUUUCGAAUCAGGGACCUCAGUUCAUCUCUCAUUUUUGGCAAUGGUUCUUGCAGUUGCUUGGAGUGAAGGCCAACCUCUCUUCAGUGUAUCAUCCUCAAACUAAUGGAUAGUCGGAGUGAAUGAUUCAAACAUUGGAACAAUUAUUAAGGUGCUUCAUCAAUUAUCAUCAAGAUGACUGGUUCGAUAUCCUUCCCUUUGUUGAGUUCUCCUAUAACAACUCUGUUCACUCCUCCCUUCGAGUUUUCCCCUUCUUUGCAAACUCUGGCUAAAAUCCUCAAUUCAAUCUCUCACUUCUUUCUCCAUCUGAAUCCUCUCAUUCAAAUCCCCACUUUGAGGUAUUUGUCUCCAACCUCCAGGAAAUCCACAACUCCAUCUCCUUCCACCUCCAUCGUGCUCAGGAAUCUCACAAAACAUUCGCCAAUGUCCAUCGUUAGGAUUGUCCUCCUUACAAUAUCGGGGAUAAAGUUUGGCUCCUCAAGCAAAAUAUCUCCACCACCAAGCCAUGUCCCAAACUCAAUUUCAAACGCCUCGAUCCUUUCCCUAUCACUACUAUCAUUAAUCCUAUCACUUAUCACCUUGCACUUCCCUCCUCAUAUCAAAUUCACCCUGUUUUUCACUCCUCUCUCCUUGAGCCUUAUAUUCCCAGUCCUAUUCCAAAUUGGGUCAUUCCUCCACCUCCACCAAUGCAGCUCAAAGAUGGGUCUGAGUAUGAGGUUCAGGACAUCCUUGAUUCCAAGAUCUCACGGUCUAAAGUCUACUAUUGAGUAGACUUGAAGGGUUAUGGACUUGAGAAACGCACUUGGGAAUCUGCGGACAACUUAAUUCAUUCUCCUGACUUUGUUCAAGACUUCCACUACUGCUAUCCUUCUUGUCCCAGUCUUCAUUCUUUUCAUUCUCCCUCUCCCAUCCCUCACCGCCCAUUUCAUCCUCCUCUUCGUUCCUAUUCACGUACUCAUUUCACUUGUUCUUGAGGAGGGGGUGCUGUCAGAUAUCCUCCAAUUCUUGCCACAUUCUUGACUCUCGCCGGAUUCUUGACCCGUAGAUUAUAUUCCUAACUCUCGAGACACUUCCCUAUUCCUGACUCUCUAAUUUCCCGUACAAUUUUUGAGUGUCAAAUCACAUUCUUGAUGAAGAUGUGGCACCUCCUCGACCCCAGCUAUAUUUAGGCCGUAAGAGUGGUGGAGCUUCAUCAACCUAUAGUAUAUAUAGGUUAGCCUUAUUCCAUUUCUCCAUAAUCUAAAUCAACGCUAGUUUAAGGCUUCUUCUUUGUUUCCAUUAGCUUUUCUAUUUGUCUUUUGUAUUUUCCAGUCUUGAUCUUCUUGGGGGUCUUGACAAAGGAUGCUUAACCCCAAAUAUCCUAAGACCCUUAACUGAUUAAAAAAGGGGGUGCACUCUUAUUCAUGGGCCCUUUCCUUCUAUAUUUGAACCCCUAUGGAUCAUCUCUCAAGUCAUUCUCUUUGGUUGCUUACAAUCCACCACAUUUUCCUGCAAGUUCACGCCCUCAUGAACGGAAGCUGAGAGCUGCAGCUCUCCUAAAAGCCCUGCUCUCUUGACACCCUACCCCUUGGGUCGAGCCCAGCCGAAGCAAACUAGACCUGCCAAAUAUCAAUCAACAUGUGGUGCGAUUCCCUUAGCCAACCAGCAGAGUCGGACCCGCCAAAAGCACGACCAAAAUGAUAAAGAGUUCAUUGGAUUGGACCAAGUCUAAGAUCGAGUCCAAGACUAACUUUGAGACUGAGUUCAAGACAAAGUUUGGGAUCGAGUCCGAGUUGACUUUGAGACUGAGUUCAAGAUUGAGUUCGAGACCGAGUUUGAGACAGAGUCCGAGAUCCGAGAUCAGGUCCAAGAUUGAUCGAGUCUGAGGUUUAGGAACCAGUCUUGAAGGAUCUCUCCAAUGGUGCUUCCAAACUAACUUGAGGUUGAGACAGGGGCUGAGGGGCCUUGGGCAGGAGUGAGCAUGGACUUGGGUGGUGCCAGAGGGGCCACCUCAGGAAGUGCCACUCCCGGAAGGGAAACUGACUGCAGUACUCCCGGCUCAUGUGAAGUGGUGCCCCAUUUGAGUACCUUGUGGCUCAUUGGUCCUCACCCUUCCUAGGGGCUUGGGCCUUCCGUUUUGGGAUGGGAGUGGGGAAGUAAACAUACCCAUAUUUGGUUGUUAGGCCACAGUGUUUCCCCCUACUAGUGUCCCGAAGCAAGUGUUGCCCCUAAGGCUUGGGAUUUAGAGGGUUCUAUGAUCAAGUCUUGUUGUACCAAGGGAUGUUAGGAAUCUAGAGGCUUGGUGUGGUUAGCUUCUUGUGCUUACGGGGAGUGUAGCUGAACCUUAAGUCCAAUCUCACUUGGGGAGGGGGAUUGGGAGAGAUUUGGGAAUCCAUGGAAGGAUGGUUAACACUCUAUUGCUUAUGUAGUGAGUUGUUAAAACCAAGUAAGACCAAGUAAGAGCUAGUACAAUAGGCAGAAACUUUGGCGAGGGAACUUAGCAAAGGCCAAAGUCGUGAUGGUCGAAUAGACAAGGUAAGCUAACAAAUUGGAAAGGAAAAAUUUAUGGCUUACACCCCUCUUGUUAGAGCUUCGACCUAGUCUACUUCCAAGUCUUAACCUUGGUGUAAAUUCAGCAACCGAAGAGGAUGUUUCACGUGUUAUGGUUUGGCAUAAAAAGACAGAAAUUUAGUUACCCUGGACUAUACUACACCACCUCUUGAGGUUCCUCACCACCCAACCACCCCCAAGCUACCUCAAAAGCUCCACUACGCUGCCACUCCACUGUGAGCCCUAGGGUAGGUUAAGUCCCUUAAAUAUACCCUUGAGCCUCCCUUUGACCAAUGUUGACCAUGUGGUCAAAGUUGGUGCCUAACAAUUCUUCCCCCCCAACAAAGUCCUUAUCCCAAAGACGAGUUGUAUUGGUGAUUACCCUUUUUAAGGAACCCUACUCAAACUCCUGAUCCAACUUCCAUAGUCGUACACAUCAGGGAGACAUUGGGCCCGUCACUCCGAAAUAAUACACCUUUCAUCUAAUUGACAUAAAAUACUAUAUGAAUUUUCACCCUAGUUGGCAGCCGCACCUGAUGUCGCAAAUGUGACUUCGGGUAUCGAAAGAUACUUGUCGGCCAGUCCUUACGGGCACUCUUUCCUUACUGCCACGACGGCAGGAGGUCGGUACUGCUGGUCCCUUUUAUAGUCUCCACUCAAGCUAGUUGAGAAACUGGUCAUCGCAUGUGCACUUGACCAGAUGAGCAUAAGGACGGAAUUCCUACAUGCUAUUUGUCAAGCAUACUUGACCUGGUUAGAGAAACUCAUUCGCUGACUUGCACUUGCUAGUGUUGGGAACCCCCGUGAUAUUGAGACUAGUCCCUCAAUAUUCGAUUGAUGAUAGCUUACCGUGUCUGCCAAACACCCUCGCUAUCAUGCCCUUAGUGUUGGUCUCAUUUCGGUCCCAUAUGCUAUUUAUGGGAAGUGUCUAGAUUCGCUCAUUUGGCAUAUUUACAGAAUGUAGAGAUCGGCUUGAACACAAUGGUGUUCAUCCCGUGUCCAAAUUCGCAAUCUAAGGCCAUUCCAUAUUUAGUAAGUUUCGGACUUGUCCCAGAGACUAACUCCUGGUACUAAGGGAGGCUUGGGGUGAAAGCCCAAAGCGUGUGUCCCUCAAGGGGGGGGGGGGGGGGGGGGGGGGGGAGGUAUAGUAGGGAUAGUGGUUGGAAUGCAUGUCCGACCACCUGAGACAUUAGUUUGGCUCCCGCUGGGCUGUGUCGCUCCUUGUUCUGCGUCCGGCUUGGGUCUAAGCCCAAGCUCCACGCUGCUCUAGUCGGUGGAGUACCCUCCUUCUCGCGUUAGGCCACCGGUAUGCCAAAAUUGUGCCAGACUCCGUCUGACACCAUUUUGCGUGCAGGUGCUGGAUACGGGGAGCUGGUGCUCGUGGGAUUGUACCGGACCCUCGUUUCGUAGCGCAACGGGCUUGGAGUUCGGCUCCAAAUUCAGGUGCGCUACAUUUGGUAUCAGAAGAAUUGUCUGAGCGAUUCCUAUCCAACUUUUGUCGGAUUUUCUGACUCAAGUUGCAUACACAGAGACUUUUCUAGUAGAUCCGAAGCGACCUGUGUAGGAUUAGUUGGAUAGCACCAUUCGGUAAGAAUGUUGUAUGCAUGUUCAGUUACUGAUAGAGGCAUGCAUGCAGCUAGCAAGAUGGUGAAGAGGAACCGUGCUGAUGAUGCUGAAACCUCUAGACGGGCGAAUCGAGAGGAGGAAACUCCUGCUAGAGAUGCUGCGGAAGAGGCUGAGGCCGAGUCGGAAGAGGAUGAGCCAAAUGCUACAGCACUGCAGCGCACGGCUCAUGAAGUCGAGAUCGAGAAUUUGCGAAAGGAGAUUCGCAAAUUGAAGAAGGAGAACAAGAAGAGGAAGAAAGAAGCUGAGGUAGCUAAACCAGCUAAGCCUAAGCAACCGGACUCCUCUUCAAGUUCUGAGGAUGAUGAAGUUCUGCAGCCGCCCCCGGUUGCACGAGUUUCAAAGUUCAAGCCUCCGAAACCACCCAAUUUCAGAGGCAUGCAGGACUAUCAGGUUUUGGAAGACUGGGUCUACGAUAUGGAGAACUACUUCAUAGCGGCAGACGUAGAUGAUCGUACGAAAGUUGCGUGCGCGCAAUCCUUUCUCACCGAUCAUGCCAAAACUUGGUGGCGCCAGGUGUGUGCUGAAAAAGGGCAGACUAGAAGUUGGACCAAGAUGCGGUCUCGUAUCCGUAAGGAAUACUUGCCGGAUGAUCUUGGUCUGAGACUUCGCGCAGAGCUGCGGCGGUUAAAGCAGCGAGGGGACCUUAUGCAUUACGUUAAUGCAUUUGCUCAGAAGCGCAUUAUGAUUGCAAAUAUGAGUGACGAAGAUGCUCAGAGUUAUUUCCUGGAGGGUUUAAGUUCACUUUCUCGAAAUGAGAUUUUGAAGUUUAAGCAGAAGACGUACCUAGAGUGUAAAGAGGCAGCACAGCAAGUUGCCUUUAGUCACUCGCUCAUAGAACAAUAUCAGCAAUCGUAUGCUGGUAACUCGGACAAGAAUAAGAAUUCUGGGAAUAAGCAAGGUGAUCGGAAACAAAGGGUGGAAAGUAGGUACCGCCCUGGGGGCUCACAAGCUACGGUGAAUAAAGGUGGUGGUGGUUGGAGACCACCAGCAGCUUCUUCUGGUCCUAGGCCCUCUGUUCCUCCUCCUGGUGGGUACAAGCAACAGCAACCUACAAAACCUGCUCCUAGCGGAAUGGGUAGUGUGGCUCAUUGCUUCCAUUGUGGAGAGUCGGGACAUAGGUCCUCAGAAUGUCCCAACAAGCAUAAGACAAGGUCUCGGGUUAAUGUCAUGAGGGAAGACGGUGGUGGUGAAGCCGAAGGGGUUGACGAGUUGGUCAAUGCAGACUAUGAGGAAGAAGAGGUGAGUAACUUUCAUUGCUUUCCUCAAGCUUUUCUUGCAGUCAAUGCAAACACUGAUCCGUUAAUGUAUCUGGUAGGCUUUGUCCGUGGACACCGAAUCCGAGUGAUGAUUGACACGGGAGCUACGCACAGCGUGAUAUCCGAAGACUUAGUUAAGUUGUUAGGAUUGAAUGCUGAGCAAAUGUCGCCUAUGCACUUCCGGUUUGCGGAAGGUGGGCAAGUAGCCAGAAAGUUUGUGAGUGAUGUUCCAAUAAAGAUAUCCAAGUGGAAAGAAAGAGUGGACUUGGUAGUGUUGAAGAUACCAGAUUUUCAGAUGGUGUUUGGUAUGGAUUUCUUCAACAAGUAUAUAAAAGGGAUUUAUGGUGCUGGACAAAGUCGUAUCACAUUGAAGUCAGAAGGACAUCCUGAUGUAUCCUUUCAGUUGCAAAAGCGUUCCUCAAAAGAUUGGGAUGCAAAGUUCCUAACUGCGAGGGCCGUUCAAAAAGCAGCUAAGAGGGGAUGUCAGACCUUUUGGGUUCAAGUGAUGGAAGCUGAGGGUGUUGGUGACUCAGUACGAAUUGGCGAUGGGGUUGAUCCUGUACCAAAAAGGAUAUUGGAGUUGUUGGCGAGGAAUCAGGAUAUCUUUCCGAAGGAUUUGCCGCCAGGGCUACCUCCUAGCCGUGAGGUUGAUCAUCGGAUUGAGAUUAUUCCGGGUUCUAAACCGCCUACGAAAGCUCCAUAUCGGUUGAACAUCAAGGAGAUGGCUGAACUCAAGAAACAACUCACGGAGCUUCUUGACAAAGGUCAUAUCCGACCAAGCAAGUCACCUUAUGGAGCGCCGGUCCUCUUCGUUAUGAAAAAGGAUGGAACCAUGAGGAUGUGUAUUGACUAUCGGGCACUCAAUAAGAUCACGGUUAAAAACAGUUAUCCUUUGCCUCGCAUUGAUGACUUGUUUGACCAACUCUUAAAGGCUAAGUAUUUUACGCGACUUGAUUUGCGGUCCGGAUAUCAUCAGAUAUGGGUGGCAGAUCAGGAUGUGGAGAAGACAGCCUUUAAGACUCGAUACGGAUCUUAUGAGUUCCUUGUCAUGCCGUUCGGGUUAUGCAAUGCUCUGGCAACGUUCAGCACUAUGAUGGAUAGAAUAUUCGGAGAUUAUUUGGAUGCAUUUGUUGUCCUAUAUAUCGACGAUGUUCUAGUCUUUAGUGAAACGUUGGAGGAUCAUUUGAAACACUUGGAGCUGGUGUUUCAAAAAUUGCGCGAACACAAACUAUAUGCUAAGGAAAGUAAAUGCGCUUUUGGUCAAUUGCACGUAAACUUUCUCGGACAUAUAGUUGGUGGUGGCGUGAUUGAGGUCGAUCCAAAGAAGGUGGAAGCGGUGAAGUCCUGGGAAGUCCCGACCACUGUAUCAGAUGUUCGUUCCUUUCUCGGUUUGGCGGGAUACUAUCGCAAGUUUGUCCGCAAUUUUGCAAGUAUUGCUCUUCCGUUGACUGAGUUAACGAAGAGUAAUAUUCCGUUUCAUUGGACACCAGCUACAACUUCCGUUGACUGAGUUAACGAAGAGUAAUAUUCCGUUUCAUUGGACACCAGCUUGUCAGCGUGCUUUUGUACGAUUGAAGUAGAUCUUGACUACGGUUCCUGUUCUCAGGAACCCAGAUCUUGAUAAACCCUUCGAAGUGCAUUGUGAUGCAUCUGGUUAUGCUAUUGGUGCCGUGUUAUAGCAAGAUUGUGACAAAGCAGUUGGUGUUACGCUAAAAAGACAUGGUUGUCCCGUUGCGUUCUAUUCCAAGAAAUUGGAUGAGACCCAACGAAGAUGGCCAACGCACGAGAAAGAGAUGUUUGCUAUAGUGUCGGCCCUGGAACACUGGAGACACUACUUGGGUGGACAUACUAAGGUUUAUACGGAUAGUAACACACUAAGCUACUCUGCUACGCAGCCUAAGCUUACGCCGAAGCAGGCUCGUUGGCAAGAGAAGCUUGCUAGAUAUGAUAUUGAAAUCAUAUAUAAAUCUGGUAAAGACAAUAUUGUUCCGGAUGCGUUGAGUCGUCAAGCUCAAUUCCGGGCAAUAUCAGCAAUCAGUUUGGACUGGUUGGAAGACAUUCGGGCUUCGUAUGGAAGUGAUCCAUUGGCGAAGACAAUCUUACGCCGUGCGGAGUUGUCGAAGCAGAGCCCUGGUAGCGAAGCAGCAAAAGUUGCUAGUCGCACUAAUGCGAAACUUCACUUCUCAGUUCGGGAUGGGCUUAUAUUCUAUAAGCAAGAAAGAUUGUACCUUCCCUCUAAGGAUCUUCAGCAGUUAUUUCUGCGGGAACAUCACGAUGUUCCAGCAGCAGGACAUGGUGGACAACGAAAGACUCUGGCUUCAUUGAAAAAGGGAUUUUUCUUGUCUGGUAUGGAAGAUGAUGUAGCGGACUAUGUCCGUUCCUGUCCUGUAUGCCAGCAAUGUAAGCGCAGAACUGAGAAGCAGGCUAGAAAGUUGCAGUGCAUUCCAGCACCGGCAUGGCCAUUUCAAAGUGUGACACUUGAUUUCGUCACUUGUUUGCCGAAGUCUAAGGGUUAUGAUACUUUGAUGGUGGUUGUGGAUCAGUUGUCAAAGAUUGCACACUUCAUUCCAACUGUGGGAACAGUAAAUGCGAAACAAGCAGCAAAGCUCUUUUUCCAUGAAGUAGUUCGAGUUCGUGGUCUUCCUGAAGAAAUGAUCUCAGAUAGAGAUUCGAGGUUUACGGGGAAGUUUUGGGGGACCCUAUUCCAGUUGUUUGGUACCAAGUUGAAGUUUAGUACAGCUUAUCAUCCUCAAACCGAUGGGCAGACCGAACGUGUGAAUGCUCAAGUUGAGGAUUAUCUGCGGUACUAUGUCGCGGCGGACCAAAGCGAUUGCAUUGAGCAUUUGGAUACAGCAGAAAUCUGUUAUAACAACACAUUUCACAGUGCUAUAGGCUGUUCUCCAUGGGAGAUGUUGCAAGGAAAUGCUCGUGGGGUUCCUCAACAGAUUGUUGUCCUGAAACCAAUGACCGAAGUGUUGGUCCCAGCCGUGGAAACUUAUGCGGAGCAGCUACGCCAAGGUUGGUCUAAAGCUACCGAGGCGAUGGGCAAAGCUCAGGAUAGGUAUCGACGUGAUAAGGAUCAGCAUCGUCAGGAUGUAUCCUAUCAAGUGGGAGAUCAGGUGUGGCUAUCUUCCCGAAACUUGAAUAUUAAGGGUUCUUUGUCUCGGAAGCUCUUGCCGAGAUACGUUGGACCCUAUCGGGUGUUAAAUCGUCUUGGUGAUGUAUCCUAUCGGUUGGAUCUGCCUACGGAGAUGUCCAAUGUUCAUAAUGUAUUUCAUGCCAAUCUAUUGGCUCCUUACACUAUGGAUGAUGCACGUCAAGGGGAGAUUCGUCCGCCACCAGAUGUUGUGGACGGUGAACCUGAAUACGAAGUUGAAAGCAUUCUGGCUUGUCGCCGGAAACGUGGUGGUCAUGCAAAGGAAUAUCUAGUUAAGUGGAAAGGUUACCCGACUUGUGAAUCAACUUGGGAACCUCUUAGUAAUCUUACCCAUGCUCGUGACCUUGUCACGGAGUAUGAGAAUUGUAAUAAAGCCUAGCUUUUGUAAAUCUUGUAAUAAAUCUUGCAAAUUAAUAAAGUAAAAUAUUUCUAUCACUCAAAGUGUCGUUUCUCUCGAUCAUUUGUACUUGGGUCAGUUUUGGCAGGCUGACUUCGGCACUUCGGUGCAUGGGUCCAAUCCAUAACCAUGGGGAUAACUAUUAUAGACUGAUCACAAGUCCCUGCCUCUCUCUCGAUGACUCCUUUUCGAAAAAAAAAAAAAAGGGGCGUGGUCGUGUAAACAACUUACUCUGCCAGUUUAUAAUAGUUGUCUAAAUCUUCCCGACGGGGUUGAUUUCUUGCUCAGGGGCAGUUGGGCCUCUGGCCUUCUCCCUAUAUCCCUGCGGGCAGGGAUGUAUCAUUCCUUUGUAAGCUAAGUGGUAUUCAAAGUAGCAAGGGUGGCUAACUCUGUUGGUCAUUUCCUUGUCGGCGACGGCCGGAGGGUGUCUGGGUCUUAACGUCUUUGGACGUAGAGGAGAGGUCGUUCCAUAACUCAUUUAAGUCGGUGUAUUUCCCCCAUAGUGUGCUUUCUGUUAACUUUCGAAGUUGUUUCCUUGACGGUUUGCUAGACUUGGGUAUGCAUCGACGAGGACGUCGAUCUUCCCCAAGGGGGGGAGAGUGUCGCGAAUGUGACUUCGGGUAUCGAAAGAUACUUGUCUGCCAGUCCUUACGGGCACUCUUUCCUUACUGCCACGACGGCAGGAGGUCGGUACUGUUGGUCCCUUUUAUAGUCUCCACUCAAGCUAGUUGAGAAACUGGUCAUCGCAUGUGCACUUGACCAGAUGAGCAUAAGGACGGAAUUCCUACAUGCUAUUUGUCAAGCAUACUUGACCUGGUUAGAGAAACUCAUUCACUGACUUGCACUUGCUAGUGUUGGGAACCCCCGUGAUAUUGAGACUAGUCCCUUAAUAUUCGAUUGAUGAUAGCUUACCGUGUCUGCCAAACACCCUCGCUAUCAUGCCCUUAGUGUUGGUCUCAUUUCGGUCCCAUAUNNNNNNNNNNNNNNNNNNNNNNNNNNNNNNNNNNNNNNNNNNNNNNNNNNNNNNNNNNNNNNNNNNNNNNNNNNNNNNNNNNNNNNNNNNNNNNNNNNNNGGGGGGGGGGGGGGCUGUGGGGGGUUCCAAAUGUAUAGUAGGGAUAGUGGGCUGUGUCGCUCUUUGUUCUGCGUCCGGCUUGGGUCUAAGCCCAAGCUCCAUGCUGCUCUAGUCGGUGGAGUACCCUCCUUCUCGCGUUAGGCCACCGGUAUGCCAAAAUUGUGCCAGACUCCGUCUGACACCAUUUUGUGUGCAGGUGCUGGAUACGGGGAGCUGGUGCUCGUGGGAUUGUACCGGACCCUCGUUUCGUAGUGCAACGGGCUUGGAGUUCGGCUCCAAAUUCAGGUGUUCUACACCUGAUAAGCUGCUUUACCAAUGUGCUCUAGCACUUCAUAUGGAUCAGCAUAUCAAUGAGAAAGUUUAUCACUCUUCCCUCUCUGCAAAGGCACCAAGGUGUUUUACCACUCAUUUGACAGAAAGAUCACUCGCAUAAAGAUAAGAUCACCCACUUUAUAUUCCCGAAUUUAUCGAUUCUCAUUAGCAAACUUCUCCACUCUAUCUUGAGUUACCUACAAAUUCUAUUUGCAUACCACCAGAAUCUUAUUAAGUUCUAUAGCCAGGUCAAUUGCUUCAGAAUCAAACUUAUUUUGAAUAUCCUUACUCAAAUGCAAUCCCAACUCCACUGUUGUUUGGGGAUGUCUUCCAAACAUAACAAAGUAAGGACUUUGCUUGGUUCCAAUGUGUGGGCUACUGUUGUAAGCAAAUUGCACUAACAAAAUAUAUAGAUCCCAUUGUCCUUGCCUUUGACUAACGCUACAACGUAGCAUAUCCUCCACCACUUGAUUUACAUGCUCAGUUUGCCCAUCUAUUUGAGGAUAAUCUCCACUCAAGAGUUUUAAAGUCACUUGUAUAGCCUUCGCAAAGCUCUUUUAAAAUCCACUUGUGAACUUUGAAUUUUGAUCACUAAUGAUAUCUUUUGGCGAACCAAAAUCAAAAAAAAAAAACCUUCUCUAAGUAGACUAUAGCCAAGUCUAGGACAAUGACAGUCUUCCGAAGAGCCAACAACUGCACAUACUUCGUCAACUGAUCCACUAUGACCCAUACUUGCUCCUUUUGCCUCUGUGUUCAUGGCAAACAAGUGAUGAAGUCCAUAGAAAUACUACACCAACAGCUCUAAAGAAUAAGUAAAGGUUGCAAAAGUCCCCCUGGCUUCUCCCGUGGCACCUUAACCUGUUGACAGAGCUCGCAUGAUUUACAAUACUUGAGGAUAUCAGCUUUCAUAUUCCUUCAAUAAAAAUUGCACUUAAUCAACUCAUAUAUCUUUUUCCCCUUAAAAUGACUGGCCUCCAGACAAUUAUGAUAGUGGAAUAAAACUUGAGUAAUUAACACAUCCACCCAUGGCAAAUAUACACAGCCAUUAUAAUAGAGAAUCCCAUCCACUAAUGAGAAAGGGGCUUUCAUUUGGUCACACAAAGAGGCCACCUCAACAUCUUGAGCCUGAGCAUGCUCAAUCAAUAGCCCAAACUCAUUGACCACUUUAUUCAAAUGAUGACAAAAUUAUGUUUGUAAUGCUGUCACAUGACGAAUACAAGAUAAAGCAUCCACCACCACAUUCGAUUUUCCUAGACGAUGCUCAAUAGGAAACUCCCCAAACUCCAUGAGUUUGACCAUCCAACAAGCUUGCCUAGUGUUCAACUCCUCUUGUGUGAAAAGAUACACAAGUGGUUUAUGAUCUGUCAACAUCACGAACACUGCACCAUAAGGAUAGUGCCGCUAUGUCCGCAAAGCAUGAACAAUAGAGACUAACUCUUGCUUAUAUAUGGAAUAACAUUGUUUUGCAGGAUUCAAAGUUUGACUCUCAUAUGCAAUAAGUUGUCCUUCUUUCAUGAGAACUCCUCCCAAUACAUAACCACUUGCAUCACAUGUCACUUCAUAAGGUUUUGAUGGAUCAGCAAUGCAAAACAUUGGAGCCUCUUUCAACAAUCAUUUUAGCACUACAAAUUUCUCCUCUUGUGGCUUCUUCCACUCGAAUGGCAAGUUCUUGUGCAACAACUGUGUCAAAGGAAUAGCCAACUCCACAAACUUAUAUUGGAAACAUUGGAAGUAACUAGCCAUUCCAAGGAAACUACAUAACUUAGCCAUUGUAGUUGGUGUAAGCUAAUUCUCCACCACAGCCACCUUCCUUGGAUCCGUCUUAACACCCUUAGAUGUCACAAUAUGGCUUAGAUAUUCCACCUCCGACUUUGCAAACUUAUAUUUGCUCUUCGUCAUAUAAAGUUUGUUGUCACGGAGUAACAAAAGAAUGUUGCGCAAAUGCACCUUAUGGUCCUCCAUAUUUUUAUUGAAAACAAGAAUAUUGUCCAAGAAAAUCUCUAUAAACUCAUGAAGAUAACACCCAAAUACCUCUGUUAUCAACCGAGUCAAAAUGGCUAGUGCAUUCAUCAAACCAAAUGGCAUAAUUGUAAACUCAAAAUGCCCAAAGCUUAUGUUGAAUGUUAUCUUGGAGAUAAAUGCAUCAUCCAUUGCAAUCUAAUGAUAUCCACUUCUCAAAUCAAUCUUGGUAAACACUCGUGCUUCACCAAGCUUGUCUAAAAUAUUAUCCACACAUGGCAUUAGCAUCUUAUCCUUCACUGUCUUCUUGUUCGAGGCAUGGCAGUCAAUACACAUUGGCAUGGAAUCGUCCUUCUUCACAAGCAAGGCUGAAACACUAAAUAGAAACUUACUUGGUUAAAUAAAUCCAAACUCAAGUAACUCUUUAACUUGUCGUUGAACUUUUUGCUCCUUUACAUAACUUAACUGAAAUGAACGCCAGUAAAUUGACUGUGUCCUCGGCUCUAAUGUAAUCCCAUGCUCUACAUCUCGUAAUGGAGGUAACCUAUGAGGAAGUUCAGAUGGAAAAACAUCAGAAAACUCGUUGAGUACAUCCCAUACUACUGCUUCUCCCCCACACGUGCCUUGGUCCCCCAAAUCACGAACAAACAGCAAGUAACUCGAAAGUGCUUUUCUAUUAUAACAAGUUUGCUUCAAAGAUGUAGUAGAGAACAUAAUAACUAGCGGUUGAACUCCUUCUCCAAACUACACACCUUUAACGCCGCUAUACUCCAGUUAGACACAUUUAAUACUCCACUUUAUCUUUGGAUCCACCUUCACUAACCAUGGCAUCCCAAAAAUGAAAUCCACAUAAUGGAUAUCCACAACAUAAAAAGUCUCCACAAGUGUGGUGGUUUCAACCAACACUUCCAGCCCCUCUACACAAACAUUGAAAUGUUGAGUAAAAGUAAUUGCACCUUCCACCAUGUAUGGAAGAACUCCUCGUGUGACCAGGCUAUGCUUCACAACAAACUUUGCUGAAACAAAGUUGUCAUCACUCCCACUAUCCAGUAAAAUUUGCAUUGGACCACCAUCAAAUACACCUUCUAACAUUAAAGUUGAUUCAUGAGUAUCCUCGAGUUCCAUUUUGUUCCAUACAUAAUUGAGUUGGCGAACAAUGAUCGAAAGCCUUUUCUUUCGACCAGAAUGGUUGUCCCCAUCAUCCUCAUAUUGCAAAGUUUGUAACUUUUUAGCAUCGGAUUUACCAUCAAUAAAAGAUUGGCCAUUCUUCUUGCCCUGCUGUUUGUUCUUCAACUAUGGACAAUCAGCCUUGUAGUGUCUAAACUGGCCACAAUGAUGACAACUUUGUUUAUAAUUCUUCACAAAGAACUUCUACUUCUUUGACCCUUUUGCAUCCGAAGUAGUCACCACAAACUUUAACUUAUGGUGCUUAUUCCCAUCCUUGUGUCCACAGUGAUCACGACAAUUCUUGACAGAAGGACUUUGCGAAUGCUUGCAAGACUUAUGCUUAUCAUUGUCAAGUCGACAAGUUGUAUCAAAGAACUUCUCUAAACUCUUUCUAGGUUAAGAAUAAUGCAAGUGUUGCCGCAUGCUCUCACUAUGAAGACCAUCAAUGAAGUAGGACCUAUUCUGAUCUGGAUCCUUUGUUAGAACACAGCUAAUCAAACAAGUAAGCUUCUAAAUAUAGUCCUCGAGUGUCAUUUUCCUUUACUAGAAAUGUCAAAAUUUUGUGCGAGCAUUCUCCACAUUGUAGUGAGGGGCAAAACGUAAAUGGAAAGCAGCCUCAAACUUAUCCAUAGUAGACACUAAUGGUUUUUUAUUUGCAACACAAGACUCCUUAAGCCAAUUCCACCACCGAAUACCUGCAUCAUGCAAAACCAUUGGAAUAGCCACUAACGCCUUUAUAUCUGGAAUUCCCUUAGCAACCAAGAAUUUCUUCACAUUGGAUAGCCAAGCAAGACACUCAUCCACACCACCAUCAUUGGAAAAGGUUGGAAUCUUGAGUCGAUCUACCAAAGAAGGCUUACUUGGAGUGCUACCAUGUCCAACCUCAAGUGCCUCAACAUGCCCAUGCAUGGUAUCCAUCAUGCCAUGCAUCUCGUCUUGCAUCUCGUCUUGCAUUUCUUGUUGAUUUCGAUUAAAGGUUUGUAGUUCAUGAACAACAUCUUGAAUGGUCCAAACCUCCGCAACUCCAUAAGCACUAUCUUCGGCACCACCAUCGACAAUAGGAUUCCAGCAUUUAGCUUGGUUGGCCAUUAGAACCAACCCCUCUAAUAUUAAUGUUAUGAUUUGGUGAAAAAAAACAAAGAUCUAGUCACUUUGGACUAUGCUAUGCCAUCUCUUGAAGUUACUCACUGUAGCGCAUGUGGUUUUGACCCUUUAUCCUAUGGUGAUUUACCAUAGGAUAACACCACGAAGCGGAACCUAAACCCUCUAUGUGCCAUGUGAUAGAUGCCACGGUCAUAUGCCACGUGUCCAUAGGAACCUGAAGUUCAAGGCCUUGGGCCACUGAACGAAGGAACAGUGCAUAACUCCCAAGCGUGAAGCCAAAGAGUGAUGGAACCGAACCACGGAGCAACUCCCGAGCAUUAAGCCCGAGGAGCGAAGGGACAGGAGCCCGGAGCGACUUGGAACAGUCCUAGAGUAACCAGCAUCCCAAUGCCAGGAGUAGCACGCAAAACGGAGCCAAACAGAGUCUGGCACUAUUUCGGCAUACCGGUGGCCUAACGCGAGAAUAUGGGUACUCCACCAACUAGCAUGGGCUUAGACCCAAGCCGGACGCAGAACAAGGACAGGCACACAAGCGAGAGCUAGACUAUGCCUCAGGUUGGUCAGCCAUGCCCGACCUACCCACUAUCCCUACUAUACCAUUUGGAACCCCCUAUAGCCCCCCCCCCCCCCCCCCCCUUGAGGAACACAUGCUUUGGGCUUUCACCCCAAGCUUCCCUUAGUAUCAGGAGUUAGUCUCUGGGACAAGCUCGAAAUUUACUAAAUAUGGAAUGUCUCUAGAUUGUGAAUUUGGAUAUGGGACGAACACUAUUGUGUUCAAACCAAUCUCUACAUUCCGUAGAUAUGCCAAAUGAGCAAAUCUGGACACUUUCCAUAAAUAGCAUUUGGGACCGAAAUGAGACUAAAACAAAGGGCAUGAUAGCGAGGGUGUUUGGCAGACAUGGUAAGCUAUCAUGUAGCGAUAUUGAGGGACUAAUCUCAAUAUACAAGGGUUCUUGUCACUAGCAAGUGCAAGACAAAACGAGACAGGAACUCCUUACCGGGCUAAGUAUGCUUAGCUAAUAACACGUAGGAAUUCCGUCUUUAUGCUCGUCCGGUCUAAGUACACUCGAAAUGCCUAGUUAACUCCACUAGCACAAGAGGGAUUGAUAAAGGGUCCAGCAAUACUGACCUCCUGCCAUCGUGGCAGUAAGGUAAGAGUGUCCGUAAGGACUGGUCGAUAGGUAACUUUUGAUACCCGAAGUCACAUUCGUGACACUCACCACCCAACCACCCCCGAACUACCUCAAAAACUCCAUUGUGCCACCAUUCCACUGUGAGCCUUAGAGUAGGUUAAGUCCCUUAGCCUAACAUGCCUUAAUAUACCCUUGAGCCUCCCUUUGACCGAUGUUGACUACGUGGUCAAAGCUAGUGCCUAACAUCACGAGCAUCUUGUUUCCAUAUUCACACCAAUACCUUAUAUUUUGUUAAAAAAAUAUACAUAAUUAAUAAUAAAAAGCUUGUGUUUUUGGGUCAUUUUAAAUCUCCAGAUCACAAUUUUUGUUGAAAAACUGCCAAAAAUCCACUUUAUCACAAAAGGCUUCGAAAACGAAUGCUAAAUUACAUCACUAACUCAUAUGAGCUUUGACAAAGAUAAUGCAAUUGUUGGAAGGCAUUAUCACAAUCAUCGGCAUGUCCGAAUGUGCAUUUGAAGAUGUCUGGGAGAACAUUCCAAUCCCCAUGAGUGGUUACACUCAAACUAUUGUACCACUGUAGCACCAUCCCUUGGAGAUACAUGGGAAACUCAUGCAAAUAUUGAGUAUCAUCCCAGAAAUGAUAUGUGGCAAUCACCGUGAAGUGAUCGAACCAAUGGUACACAUCAUCCCCAGAAUUCCCAUGAAAGAACUCUGGCCGAACGCAAGGAUUGGCACCAAGAGCAAAAAGAGUUGUACCACGUGCUAUGAAUGCCACCAUCAAUUGAAUUUGGUUGUUCAAUUGCAAUUGCAUAGCAUCAAGCAAUUGCAUCAACUGCUGCUCUAGAGUUAAUGGAAGAGGAGACUACUGCUCUGCCAUGAAAAUAAAUGAAAAAGGAAGAAGCAAAAGAAGGGAGAAAAAAAAAACUAAAAGGAAAGGGAGAUCUAAACAAUGUAAAAGCUAAAUCUAAACCAAAAUCCCAAAAGGAAAGAACAAAAAAAAGAAAAUGGAAAAAACUAGAUCUAAACUAAAAUCCUAGGGUAUAACUCUAAAGAACUAGUGUGGCCAGGGAAGGCUAGUAUGACUCAAGAAGGCUAUGCCAUAUGAUGAGUGAUAAUAUGAAUGUUAGAGAGUUCAAGGCUAAGGUGAACAUGAAUGGAUAAGUGAAAUAACUUAGUGAAAUAUUCAAAAAGUUAUUCUACCUCUUUUGGGAGAUCAAAUGGUUAAUGCUCUCAAUCUAAGUGUGGGUAGCACUGUCUACUUGGAUAUCUUACUUGACUCAUUAGAACUUUGCUUUAGCCAUAUGAUUAGAGCAUUUUGGUGGCAAAAGGUGGGGAGAGUAUUUAUAAAACUUGCAUUAGGCUAUAAUGUUUUGAAAUGUCAUCCCAAAUUCCCAAAAAGGAGUGGUCCUCUUACUUAGUAACCAAGGGUAUAAUUAUAUGGUGAGGAAGUCUCAGAAGUUAAUAGGACUUAGUGGAUAAAUGGGCUUUGGGGCUUUGACCUAGUGGUGGUGUUGAUAAGCAUCUUUUUGUAUUAUAAAAAUGUUAAUUCCUCCUUUAGGUACAUCCUUAACUCCUUGGAUUGAGGUGAAAGCUAAAGCAUGCAUUCAUAUGGAAGGGGGAGCUAAGGGGGUUUUAAAUGUAUAAUAGGGAGUGGUUAAAAGUAUAGUUGACCAUCUGAGACAUUAGUUUGACUUUCAUUAGGCUAUAUUGCUUUUUAUUAUCUAGCUUGGGCAAUUGCUCUAAUUAAUGGGGUACCCAUCUCCUCAUAUUAAGCCAUUAGUAUAUUGAAAUUGUAUUAGACACCAUUUGAUAUUGUUUUGCAUACAAGAGUUGAAUACAGAGAGCUAAUGUUUGUAAGGGAUAUAAAUGCAUAUUAGAGCUUUGUUUUAUAGUGCAACAAAAUUGAAGUUUGGCUCCAACUUUAUGUAUACUACAGUUUAAGCUCAAACUCUAUACCAUACUAGCUAGUGGAGUUUCUAUAUCCUUUUAUUAGGCCACCAAUAUAGUGAAAUAGUGCCAAACUCUAUUUGGCUUCGUUUUGUAUAUUAGUCUUAGUAUUGGGAUGCUGAAUACUCUAGAACUAUUCUAAUGUUAAAUCAAGCUUUUAGUCAUGUAAAGUGUGAUCAUAUUAAUGUUAUGUUUGUCCAUGAUAUAUUGCCAAUACUAACUUCCAUAGGAUAUGAUUACACAAUGUUUUUUGUUCUUGAUGUCCUAUUAUUUCCCACUAACAUGGAUUGUGAUCAUGAUAUCAAUUAGAGAGUUAUGGAUAAUACAGUUUAGUUCUUAGAGGAUGUUUAAUGAUCAAGCUUAUAGAAAGAUGAUGUGUACAAGCUCAAGUAAAUCAUUUACAUUCUAAUUUCAUGUCAAGCCUCUAUGAAUACAUAAAGAAGCACACAUUAAUUUCAAAAGACAUAGAAAUGUAGGAUUCCUAGCAUUAAUGAGGAAUUUAAUUGUUUUAAAGAUGGAUGUGAGGACAAGCUAGAGAUUUCACAAAAUAAGUAUCAAUCUUUAAAUCUGCCAUGUGAUUCUUUCUUUUGCAUUUCUCUCUUUCCUAACCUUUUUAUUAUUUCUUGGCCUAUGCCAUCUUUUCAGAUUUCUAAUAUACUUUCCUCAUUUGCAACAUUUCUUUUUCAUAAUACGUCAAUUAUUUAUGACUCUUAUGAUUCUUAUUCUCAAUGUGAUGUUGGGCUAAGUAAUAUGGAGCAUAUAUGUGAAACCAAAAAUCUUAUUUUUGUUUCAUUAGUAGAUUAUUUCUGGUGUUGAGUAUGCUUUUGUUUUAAGGGUUGGAGUAACUUUUGCUAAAAUUUCAAGUUGAGUGCAUUUUCCCUAACAAUACUUGACAUGGGAAAAUUAAAGAAAAUUUUAAUGCUCUCAAGAGAAUGAAGAACUCCUUACUUCAGUAGUAAUUAUAUUAAAUUGGACUUAUUACUUUUGUUUUUGUCCAACACUACAUCUAGGAGGUUGCUCUCACUUUAUUUCUCUUUUGCAUCUUCGUUAUCCCCUCCUCAAAGGAAAAUACUGAUUUUAUUUGGGUUUGUUAUGUUUGUCCUCUAUUAUAUUUAUUUAUCCUUAUUGCAUUGGAGCUAUAAAUGUUUCAUUUGGACUCAUUACAUUUAUCUCUUUUACCCCCUUCUUUGAAGAAAAAGUGGAUAAAAAAGCAUUAAAUGGAAACUUUUUAAUAGUUGUCAAAAUAGAAAUGGAGAAAUAAUAAGAAAGAAAUCUUGGAUAACAAUAGACCUCCUUGUAUAUAAGACUUUGUCCAAGAAAAAAGGCUGGAUAACAAAGAAUAUCUUAUUAUAAACUAUUUCAGCCAACAUAAAAUAAGUAAUAAUCUAAGACUACCAUUAACUCAAAUCUACGACCAUCAGUAAAACUUGUCUCUAUGUCUUCCCUUUGGUCAACCUUUGAGACUCAUACGUUUAUGGAGUCUUUAGCUAGUAGACAGAUUUAGAAAUGGGAUGUAUCAUUUAUUAUUAUGGUAUGUUAUGGACUGCAAUAGUUCUUAAAUUCCCUUGCUUCGGUUCAAAGUUAUGGUUUUGAGAUUGGUUUGAGCAUUUAUUAGUUGCAAAUAAGGCUGUAGUUGGCUCUUCAAAAUUUCAUAGUUGGAUGAUAUUUAUGCCAUAGUCUUAAGUUCUAUUUCUACUAUGGUUGUCAGCAAGCUAAUAUAUAUAAGCCAAUCCAACAGCUACCAAAAUCCCACUACAUUAAUAUUAGUAUACAACAUCACUUCGACCUCACAUCAUCCCCUCCUCUCAGAAUGAUAGAAGACCAUCAGGGUUCUCUCAUAGAUGGGCUAGGAUCUGGAGGAAUAUUAGGAAGCAUCAGUGGAUUUGUAGGUGGUAUCAAUUAUUCUUGAUCCCCUUAUACAAAUCGUUUCAACCACUGCACAUGCACAAUUUCUAGAGGAUCAACCUGGUGGACGUUAUGCCGAAUCUCAUAAACUUGCAGUCCAACUUGCCACAACACCUAAUACAAUCCUUUCCACUAAGCAAAAAGCCCCUUACAUAAACCAUGUACCAUAAGAUGGGAAAAAGAAUUAACACCAAGUCAUUCACUUUGGACUUUGUAGGUGGAUAAUGAUAGGAGUUAUAGCACUGUUGUUGUCACACUUGUACAUAGCCUAAGUGUUCGGUAGACUCUACCCUAACAAGUGGAAGAAUGCUCAUCAAAUACUAAUCCCAUGACCUAACAUCGGCAACUCAUAGCAAUCACAAAGGUAAACUCAACUCUAUUAGUAAUAUUGAAUCAUGACUAUAAAAGAGUUUAUAUGGUGAAGCACUAACAAAACUCCACAUUGCUAUAAUAUAUGCAUACCGAAGAGAUAGCAAAUAACCAUCUCAAUCUAAAUGCUAAAAGUUCACAUACUUCACAAUCAUCUCUUUGAAUGUCCAAAUGAGCCAUUCCACCAAACUAUCUUACUGUGAAAUACUCAUAUAUUUACUCAUGUAAAUACUUGUGAAAUUAUAGCAUAUCCCAUGGUAGUAGUAUGAUCAAAUGGAUCAAUCAAGCUAUAGACCUCUGUCUAUAUCUGUUUUGAUGAUGACAAUGGACUUGGGAACAAGUUGCUACAAAAGACAUAUGUGAUAAUAGUUUGUGACCACACCACCUCAUGCUAUCAUUCUACAGUCAGGCCCAUGCAGGAAUCCCAUGGCAGACUUCUAGAUGAAGGAUAAGGAGGAACACUGAGUCUGACCUACUAGCCACAAUGCAAAACGUGCAUCUCCUGCAGCUCAGAGCCAACCUGCCUGUCACAUAGGCAUUGACCUGGCCAUCCAGGUGGCAUGGAUAAGGCACAGCUGCCACGUGGAAUAUUUCUAGAGGUCUGGCCAGAUAUUCAUGUCUCGUGUUAAUUGAGGCAAUUCCUAAAGUCUUGAGACAUUCAAUAUUAUGUACCAUAGGUUGUUAUACCUUCCCACGCGCUCCACAAUGGUCUAUGUACGAACUGUUGUUUGUUCUAAAUUUUCAGGUUUUCCUUGUUAAUUAAUGCAUUAAGGCAUUCUGGAGUUCUCCAUAAGUACGUGGCCACAAGAAGGAUAUAUAAGAAUGCAGCAGCAAGUGAAAAUCAUAACACAAUGGCUUCCCAUCUCUCUUUCUACUUUGCUCUUGCUGUUCUUCUGGCCACUGUGGUGGAUGCUUCGAAUUCCAUUUCUUCGACAUCAGAUGAGGCUGUGGGCAUCUCUAAGUCACUGUUUGCAUGGUGGAAGCUGGAUGAGAAGAUAGGCUUCCUGGUCGCAGACUCGUCUGGGAACAAGGCAACUGGGCUUGUGAAGCAGGCCGGGUCCCAACUUGCUCACACAACUGAUGGUAUUGUGUUUGAUGGUGCAACAUACAUUUCCAUGGGCACCACGCCCUCUCUCUCUGGGCAGACUGAUUUUGCUGUUCAUGCUUGGGUGAAGGUCCCACCCCACAUCAAGCAGCAACUGUGCGUCAUCCAGCAACGCUCUGAUAUCUAUGGUGAGUGGUGGCUAUGGAUCCUCAAUGGCAAUCUAUGGUUUACGGUGUACAAUCGUGAGUACCAGUUCAACAUUAAGGGAACAGUGCCAGUCACUGAUGGAACUUGGCACCAUGUUGCUGCAGUCCGAAAUGGCACUGUUGGGUCUAUCUACGUUGAUUCUAAACUUGAUAAGUCACAGAACGGCUCCAAGAUAGUCAACCUCAAUUCCAGCCUACCUGUCUUCAUUGGUUAUGACCCCCGUGACAACAAACGCUACUUUCAUGGUGAACUCAAGGAGGUUCAGAUCUUCAGUGCUGCUGUUGUGCCUGUGGGCUUCAACCCAAUGUCUAGCUAUGGAAUCAUGUAAGCUUAUGCUCCUCUGACAUGGAUUCAUAUACGUAAAUAAAGAGGAGCUGGUUUGUUAUAUUCUAUGAAGUAUGGCAUGCUUCUUAUGAAUUGAAUGUAGAAUAUACAUUUCUCUAGUGUCCAUAGUUCCACAAUCCAACAAAGAUGUAUGGACAGAAUGGCAGCAUUCAACAUGCGUGGCAGUGCUUCGCCAGAAUUCAGCAGCUGACUGUUGUUU